This 72650-nucleotide long non-coding RNA is filed under the name Capsicum annuum. RNAcentral's name for it is "long non-coding RNA (CANN_LNC022401)". The record is from RNAcentral. Lineage: Eukaryota; Viridiplantae; Streptophyta; Magnoliopsida; Solanales; Solanaceae.
UUACAUUUGAUAACUGAGUAUGACUUAGUUGGGGAAUGUCUCAAUGGCUCGCUGGUUUUAUUAAUUUUCUUAAAGGCUUGUCAGACUAGUAUAGAUGUUGGGAGUUGACUAAUAAGUCGUAUUUUGUUAUCUUUCUGAAAUUAUUUUAUUCUUGGAUGAUAAUUACUCUGUUGAUAUUUGAGGGUUAUUUAUGGAAACCCCGUUGAUUCGUGUUGAACUGAAUGAAAAUGACUCAAAGGGUUAGCUUGGGGCUACUCGUAGCCUCAAGCACCGUGUGACGCUCCGAAACCCAUUUUCAGGGCGUUAUAGGACCCUAACCCCAAGCCAAUUCAUUUGGCGAGGCACUUCGACCUCAUGAGAUCUCAUUAUGCAAAGGACUUUAACCACAAGCGAUUCCAUUAGGUAAGAGACUUUGACCUCAAUCCAUCACGACUCUCAUUAGUCGACAUUGGGACUCUUAACUCUUUGUCCAUGCAUCCAAAUACAUUCAAUUCUACACAUAAGAACUUUAACCUAUUUAGCCAAUUCAACACCAUUGUGACCACAUGGUUUUCAUGCGAUCCUUCAUUACUCAACCAAUUUAAUAGACUAAUGCCUUGAUUUUCAUCUCAUCAUACAAUUCAAACUAUAGUCCUCAAGACCCUUACAAGCCAUUCACACUUUAUUAGCAAUUCUAUACCACAAUUAAGUUCAACACGCAAUUCAAGUUCAUUUUCAUGUUAGGGACUUUAACCUCCUUCUCAUUCAUUAAGCCAUCAAGGUCAUCAAUUACACAAUGCAUAGCUCAUUUUACCUUCACAAUAUCAUUUAUCAAGCAUUCUUACAUAUUGGGCUAUUGCCCUAGUUCAAAGCAUCAUCGUUAUGUAACUAGACAUCUCACUUAGAUAUUUUCAUAAACACCUUGUGUACAUGAAUUUACCAAGGCCAAUUUCAUGGUAGAAACCAUCAAGACUAGGGUUACUCAAGACCCACAUGUUAGACCACAUAUAACAAGCAUUCACGACUGCAAACUACCAUCAAUAAACAUAAGUCUAAGCAAGAAUCAUCAUUAUUCAUCUUUAGACAACAAAACCCUUUUCAUUUGAUUUCAAAACCACCAUGUACAUUUACUAAUCCAAGUGUAAAAUAAAUGGGUUUAGGGUUAUUUAGUAAAGGUAAGAGGUACAUGCCUUAAACAAGAUGAAUCACCAAGAAUAUUGACUCCUCUUUUCCCAUGAACACCACUCUUGAGACCCUAACCUCCAAUUCUUCAAAGAUGAGCUUGAGAGAGUAUUUAGGGUGUUUAAUCUAUCAAAAUGGAUGUUUAGGAGGCUACACACACUUAUAUAGUGAGAGGACUUACAGUUUUUAAACAUGGGAAAUGACCACAAGGCCCUUAGUUAAAAGCUGAAAAUUAAACCCAUCUAGGGGUACGACUCACUAAAGUAGUCGUACCCUAGGGUAGAAGUGGUACCCUGACUCGUACCCUAGGAUUCUCCUAGGUCACACGCAUUGUUAGUUAUACGACCAUACAACUUUGAGUCAUAUCCAAAAGGUACCACUCAACCCUAGCUUGUAUCCACCAACCGUACCCAAAACAAUUCACUUCCAAACUCAUGACUCCCCUAUAUGAUUCCCUUAGAUACGACUCGUACCCUUAGGUACAAUUGAGGGAAGGGUUUUACGUAUCGAGGAUAGUGAGUGACUCUCACUACACUGCCUAGGAUACGAGAAGGAAGGUGAAGAACGAUAUGGCUCGUAUCCAAGGUGUACAACUCAAGCCCCUAGUCGUACCCACCCCAAUGACACCAAAAGAUGAAGUUUUUCAAUGGUUCUAAGUCAAGGUGUUUCAAUAACCAUGACAACCAAACCUUACCAUUUAACCAUUUCAAACCAUUUAAAUCAUUUAUACCAUUUAGGGUUCCAUUACCAAACCAUACCAUGCAGUUCCAUUAAAAGUCCAAUAAUAUAGUAAAAGCACUAUCAUAGGCAUUUUAUCAAACAUGUUGGGGGCAUCAUAUUUCCAAAACCAAUUACCAAUUAACCAUUCUCAUGCAAACAAUUGUCCAAACCACCAUUAAAGCAUAUAAUUUCAUAAUUAAAACAUGGGAAAAUCAUAACCAAACAUUUAAUAUCCCAAUAUAUAUUUGAAAACCCCAAAACCACACAAUAAUCAUGCCAUGAAAACAUUGUAUCAAAAAUUCCUCUAGUUGGAACUAAUAAUGAAGGAGGAGUACAUGCCUUAGAUUACGAAGAUGAUGGAGAGACAUCACCUGUACAAGCCCUAAAUUGAUCCUCUAAAUGAAACCCUAGUCUUCCUUUACCCAAGAGCCUAAGAGAAAGUUAGAGAGAGUUUCUAAGUAUUUUAGAAUAGAAUAAUAAGGUGAAUAAUGUCCCAAUAGUGAUAUAAGUCGUGGGGCCUUAAGAGGUUNNNNNNNNNNNNNNNNNNNNNNNNNNNNNNNNNNNNNNNNNNNNNNNNNNNNNUGACUCCCUCAUACCAGUCGUACCCUUCCAUACGAGUUGUACCCAUCACUUGUACCUUAGGCCUCCCACUUAGACCCAAUACUGUUGAUCAUACGACUUACCCAAACCAAGUCAUACCCAACCAUACGAUCAGUACCCCUAAAUCGUAUCCCUGGCAAAAUAAAAUCAAAUAAAGUUUGAACACUAUCUACCAUACGAGUCAAUGGUACGACCGUACCCUAUCUUACUGCUCAUGGUGAGCCACUCGUACUCAGAUCCAAGUUAAGUUACUAAGUCUUAGAUUAAAUGAAGGAGAAACCCCCAUACAACUCGUCACCAAUCAUACGACUCGUACCCACCAAGUCAUACCCAUUCCAGAAACCAAUCCAACCCACCAACCAACGCUCGUUAGCAUACGAUCAAGAGCAUACCAACCAUUCCCCAUCAUACGACUGGUACCCACAAGUCGUAUGAUAUCUAGAAUACAGAAAUCCAAGAAAUUUUCUAAGGGUCCAAACCCCACGGUGUUUCACACUCGUACCCUAUCCUCACGACUCUUAGUGAGCCACUUGUACUCAAAGUCAAGUCAAGUUACUAAGUUUCAGAUCAAGUAAAGGAUCAACCCAACGACCCGUCACCAAAUUCUACGACCCGUACCCACCAAGUUAUAUCCACAACAGAAAACUAACCAUCACCCACUGGACACCUUACGAGUUGGGUCACCUGACCGGUACCUACAUCAUACGACUCGUAUCCGCACCUGUAAGAAGUUUAGGGUGUUCAACACAUACCAAAUCGAGCCAUGUCUGCAUCAAGGAAUUUGUCAUUUGAAAAUUGAAUUCAGAAAUGGACUUUUAAAUUUGCAAAAAAAAAAAUGAGCAGUCAUAUAAGCAUCUAUAAUUAUUUUAUUUUCUUCUAACUUCGUAUUUUGUGGUGGUAUUAACUUCAAAGGGUCCAAACCACUGGUCAGAAGAAUGAGGAAAACAAAAACGAUUAAAGGAGAUUUACAACGAUGAAGAUUUAUUUGAGGUGCGUUGAGUUAAGCUAUAACCGAUCUGACUUGGAUCUGUAAAUAUUCCUCAUGCUCAUGAGCCACAGAUCUGAAGUCGAUCGGUUGAUGGAGCAUAAAAGACUAAAUCGAAGAUGAGACAUGAUUGUUGAGCUGCAAAUGUUAGGCUGCUGAGCUAAAGAAAACCAAUAGCACAACGAGAAACCAUGGAAAUUCAAGAGAAAAAACAAAAUUGGAGUUGUGACCAAAAAGUAUCGAGAAGACUCCACAGACAUCCAUCAGAUAUUUCCAAAUUAGUUUUAUGAUAUCUAUCAGAUUUCCACAUAGUACAUUUCUCUUGUUUUGUUUUUUUGUUUGUCUUUUCGGGCUAGGUCACUUUUGUACCUAGCCCAUUUAUGUACAUAUUAAAUUUGGAGAAUGGAUAGAAACGGCAAUUCAAAUCAAAUUAUACAAAAAUGAUCAUAAAAUUUAAAUUUCACUUUUUAAUUAUUUUAAUUUAAUAAUUUAUUUUAUACCGUUUCUACACACUUUUUAUACAUAUCUUAUACCAAUAAAUAUUCUAUACAAAAUUAUAUAGUUUCGGCACAUAAUUUUUACAAUAAUUGUACUUUUUUUAACAUAUUUUAUGCAACAAUUAUAUGAUUUUUAAGCCCUUUUUAUAUAUUUUUUAUAUAUAUAUUUUAUACAUAUACAUAUUUGAUAGAACUAUACAAUUUCUAUGUAUAUAUCUUAUAUAGAUACAUAUUCUAUAUAACAAUUAUACCGUUUUUAUAUAAUUAUAUUUAAUUAUUAUUUUUCAAUAACUAAAAAAACAUAAUAUUUUUCAGUUAAAAAAUUUAUAGCAAACAAAAACUGAAAUAUUUUUAAAUAGGUCGAAUGGCCCAAGUUGAAAACUGUAUCAGUAUUGUGUAUGAACUAUAUCAAUAUGGUAUAUAAACUGUAUCUGAACUACAUGGUCUAAAAAGAUCCAAAUUAAAAAAUUGAUAUAAAGUGAAAAUAAUAUAGCUGAAUGGCUAUUUUUUGAAAAAAUGUCAAACUUGGGCUAUUUUUUUUAAAAAAUUAAAAAUUACACAAAUAUACAACUUAUGUUUUCAAUAUUACAAAAAAUUUCAACUCCCUAAACAUAUUACAAAAAUCAUAACAUAGACACAGAAUGUCAUGUAUAUGUUGGCUAUGUUAUGUAUAUUAAUAGGGAGAGAGAAUAAAAUAAUUAAAAAAGAGAGAGUAUAAUUUCUUCCAAAAGAGUUGAUAUUUAUGUUAUUUGUCUUUUUUCCAUUGGAUUUCUGAUUUUUUUGUUGCAAACGCAUUAAGCCCGUUCUUAAUUUAAAAAAAAAUGAUUCACAAGGGCUUUAUGUGUAUAGCUCUCUUUUCUUUCUAAAGCAAACAACAACAACAGUCCCAGUGUAUUCCCACAAAAUAAGGUCUGGGGAGGGUAAAAUAUACGCAGUCCAUACUGCUACCUCCGAGGAAGUAGAGAAGUUGUUUUCAAUAAACCCCCAACUCAAGAUAUAGAAUAAUAUACCAAGACCGUAAUAAAAUAUAAAACUGAAUGGGUAGCAUAACAAAAUAAAAGAUAAGAAAUAAUAACACUAGAUAUCCGAGAAAAGGAAAUAAGAGAACAACAAACAAUACGUAAGAAGAAAUAAGGAAAACGGAUACCCAUGUCGUAGUCACACACAUUCACAGACCUAAGACACCUAUCACACCCCAAACUCUCCUAACACCUAGCCACAACCCACCCACUCACACUAGCCUUCUACCCUAAUCCGCGACCUCCAUAUCUUUCUGUGUAGGAUCAUGUCCUCAGUAAGCUAAAACAGCUCCAUGUCCUGCCAAAUUACCUCCCUCCAGUAUUUCUUUAGCCUACCUCUACUCAUCCUGAAGUCAACCAAAGCUAGCCUCUCGCACCUCCGAACUGGGGCAUCCAUGCCCCUCCUCAUCACAUGCUCAAACCAUCUCAACCUUCCUUCUCGCACCUUAUCCUCCACCGAAGCCACUUUCACCUUCUCCCGGAUAGUCUCAUUCCUAACUUUAUCCCCUCUAGUAAGGCCACACAUCCAGAGCAACAUUCUCAUUUCCGCCACCUUCAAUCUUUGAAUAUGUGAUUUCUUGACUGGCCAACACUCCGCUCCAUACAACAUUGCCAAAUGGACUGCCACUCUGUAGAAUUUUCCUUUGAGCUUAAGGGGUACCUUCUUAUCACACAACACUCCCAGGCGAGCCUCCAUUUCAUCCAGCCUACUCCAAUACGUAUAGAGACAUCCUCAUCAAUCUCGUCAUUCCCCUGAAUCAUAGACCCAAAAUACUUAAAACUAUCCUUCUUACAAACAUCCUGAAAAUCCAACCUCACCACCACACCGUCCUCCAUACAUGAGUCACUAAACUUGCAUUACAAAUACCCUAUCUUAGACCUACUCAACCUGAACCCCUUAGAUUCAAGGUUGCCUCCAAACCUCCAAAGUUUUAACUCUUGACUAUCAUUAUCAUUAUGACUCCAAUCGUAAAUACUGUAAUUUGGUUUUCAGCUUCUAGGUCAUAUUUAUUAUCUUUCUUGCGAACAAAGCUAGUCGUCAUUAUUAAGGGAAUCUUAAGUUUAAAGACUGAUCAAACGAAAUUCAAUUUUCUUUCAUCAGAUAUAUACAAUGAAGGGAAAAUAUUCACUUAGUUUAGGAAGUGCACAACUUUCAAAUAUCACAAUGGUGAAAGCUCGAAUAUUCCGGAAUUUCUGAAUUUGGUUCAUCUCAAUUGCACUAAAAAAUUUAAUACUCGUUAACUAAAUCCAGCUUGGACUUGGACUAUGAUUUAUGAAAGAAGCUAAUAACAUUCCCAGUUUGUUAUGCCCCCCCCCCCCCCCCCCCCCCCCCCCCCCUUCCCCUUCUUCCUUCAUCUCAUCAUGUCAUCUUUUAAAUUUCUUUUUAUCCAUACAAAGUUACAACUGCUAUACUUUAUUGGAAUGGUGAAGUUUGAACCAACUUGGAUACACAAUGUGGCAGCUCUCUUACCAUCAUCAAAUGGACUACUUUAGAACCCAAAGAAAGUCACGUUCAUACUGAGCAAACUACACGAUCAUAUAAUGUCAAAUAAUUGGGAAAGGAAAGAAGUCCCAUCGGUAUUCCUGCUAAAUACUCAUCAUACUUGCUAAAUAGAAUAUGAAGUCCAGAAUAGCUGCAGAACUUUUCCAAAAAAGUCGCAGCUAUAGGUGCAACAAACAGAAAUGGUCUCACGCUGAACUGCCCAUUUAACAGAGGCAAAAGUAGAGACGAAAUUACUACUUUUAUUGGCAUUGUUAAUUUUCUGUAUACUGCCGAAUGAAAUGCUGGCAGGCGUUUUCAAAUUAACAUGCUUGAUCUCAUGGUCUUGUUACUACAAUUCCUCUAUUUGAUCACAUCCUUUCUGAAUUAGAAGUAGCCGGCAAGCUACUGCGCGCUCUUCCAACCCACCUUCUUUAUACGCUUUUAGAAGUCUAUUGCCGCUGGAGCUAUCAAAAUCUGCAGCUGCAGAUAGCUUCCACUGGUCAAUAAUUUCUCCAACUUCAUUCAUAUGCCCAAGCAUGAGAUAUGAUGAGAGUAUGCAGACAUAAUUUCUGCUAGACAUUUUUUGAUUGGUCAUUCUUAAGGAUUUCCAAAUUUGAUCGAGCUUGUCUUUAUUUCCCAAUGCACCAUAGAGAAUAAUAAGGAAGUCAUAGGAUAUCCACUCUCUUUGUGUGAUACCUUUCUCACACUCAACCACAGAGUUCAACCCUGAGUUUACAAGGUUAGCUGAGGUGAUAUAUAUGUAAACAAGGUUAAUGUAUCUUUUCCACUGUUCACCAUAGUCAGAGCCAAGACUUAUUUCAUAAAGAAUCCGUCUAACCUCAUCAAUCUUUAGAGUUGCAGCACAUGAACUUACCCACAGAUUGUAUGUAAAUAGGUCAGGUGAGACCUUGUGAAGUUUCAUCUCCUCAACAAUAAGAGGUACUUUCCCCAGCAGUCCGACAGACAUGUACAAAGUCAUCAUUUCAUUAUAAGUAACAGUAUUCAGAGAAAGAUUUGCUUCUUUCAUUCUCUCAUAGAGAUCCUCAGCUUUCUCAGUCAGUCUUAAACUGGCGUAGGAGUGGAGGAGAGCAGUAUAUGUUUCAGUGGUUUUUGCAGUAGAAGGCAGUCCUUCAAAAUAACGUUCAGCAGAAUCAAUUCCAAAAACUUUGGUGAUCAAGUCAAUGCGGGUAGCAUAGUCAGAGUCCAACGCUUCAUCCUGAUUGUGGUAAACCAGCCAUUCUGAGAUCUGCAUGCUAUAGGAUGCUAAUCAGUACUUAUGCAACUAUUACAGAAUUACAAUUAUAUUAAACCUUUAUAUUUUUUAGAUUGAAACAACAUUUAUAUUAAACUAAGCAAUUCUCGUUUAGUGUCUGGAUUUUGCAUGGGAUAAAAGUGGAUUAAGAAUAUGUAAGUGUCUUGUCUCAAGAGCAUGGAAUUGGAUGGUGAAGCGGGGUAUGAUCUCCUUCAAUGAAAAUAAAAGUUAUGGGCACAGAGGUCUAAAACUUGGAAUUGGAUCGUGGAAGGGACUGUAGUCCUCUUUGUGAAUGAAAUAAAAGCUACAUCAUGCAGUAACGUGGUGAUUUUUCCGUUAGAUCAUUCUCUCUCUUCCUCUUCAAAACAACACCACUAACCAGCUCUUGCCCACCAUCCAACCCCUUGUUGCUAUCCACAAGCCGUAGCAUGCUCUACUACCCAUUACCCAAUAUUCCCAACUUCAAUGAAUAAAACUUGUAUGACAUUCAUGGGGAGUUGAUCAGUUCGAGAGAAAUAAUGACUAGAAUUAAAAAAUGUAGUUUAGAUAAAGGAAGAAAGUUUAUCUCCCCGUAUUUGUGAGUUUGGUUGGUUCUUCCAGAGGCAAUUCAUGAUAGUUUCAGAUAACGAUUCCGACCAGCAUAAUGAAGGAGUGCAGUUGGGAGAAGGGUAUUGUCGACUGCUAUUCUAUCAGUUCUUUUUGAAUUCUGGGUUUUAGGUUUACAAAGGAGAUGAAACAAGCAUACAAAACUUUAAGCAGAUGUAGAGUCAUACCCUUCAUCUCAUGAACUCAAUACAGAACACAAGGAAUCUCAUCUACAAUAUUAUUCACAUAUUCUUCAACAGUCCUCUUAAAUCCAGUAACUCUAAAAAACUAGUCCUGAUCCAUUCGCAGUGCAACGCUACCUAAUACUAUUGGAGAAACAAAUGUCCCCAAAGGGUUAUAUUUCUUGAAACUGGUUUAGUUUACAUGCACGUCAAAAUGCAUAUAGAACAUUAGGCAGAAUUCAAGUCUGGGUAGUUUGUGCAGCCACGAUAUGACUACUUUCAGUAGCUAUACAGCGAGUGAUUGCAAAGCACAACAACAUUCUCCCACUGACAAUUUCAUCACAGCUAAAUGGCUAAAAUGUUGUUUUAGAUAUCAUCAUUGAAUUUGAAAACAUAAUGAUCCUUUCUUUCAAAAAUAAUAACAAAAUAGAACUUAAUGUUCUCUAUCUUCUGGCCAAUCAAAAAGACAUCGCUUGGAAAUUUCAAGUUAACAAAAUUGUAUUAUAACAUUAUUGUCUGUAUAGAAAUCUAGACACAACAUAGUUACUUAUAGGAGUUCAUGAUGGAAGGGGAAAAACCUCUGAACUAGCUUAGAAUCCCUAACAUCAGAACAUAAGCAAAAACGGUAGAGAUUAAGAAAGAAGAAACUAAGAAUAUGCCAUGCACAUAUCCAAAUAGACAAAUUAAAGGAAAAAAGCUCUGAACUAGCUUUGGUAGUUCUUAAGUUAACCAGUUUUGACUCGUUAAUAUUUGUCAUUAAAUGGUAUGGACUGCGUACAUCUUACCCUCCCCAGACCUCACUAUGUGGGAAUACACUGGGUUUGUUGUUGUUGUUGUAAAUGUGGACGUAAACUCACAAAGAAAGUAUAAAUCACUGAUCGACAGGCCUAUAGAUGAAUCUGACUUUUUGAACUAAAACUAGGAAAGUUGUGCCAGUUCUCAUCCAAAGUAGCUAUUUCAUUGCUUUGCUGAGCCAAUUGCAAUCAACAUUGGGUAUUCAUCGAAGCAAUUCAUGGAGCAGUUGCAGCUUUCCAAGGACAUGACCUUGGAUAGGAAGGUGUUGAGGACACAAAUUAGGAUAGAAGGUUUAGCAGGUAGGAGUGUGUUGUCUUGUUGCCCUUACUAGUAGUCAUAGGACUAUUCAUUUAGUUUCUUGUUCUUUGAUUUUUGUUACUAUCUAUUGUUUCGUGUAGUUUGAUUGUAGUACUUCCAUUACUUCUUUUUGUAGACUGUUUGUGCCUUGAGCUUGGGUCUCAGAAACAACCUCUAUACCUCAUCUUUGAGGUAGAGGUAAGGUCUGCAUAUACUCUACCCUCCCAAGACUCCACUUUGUGAUACUGCACUAAGUAUGUUGUAGUUGGUAUCAGAACCUCAUUAAGAAACACUGGGACAGAAAGGUGAGUUUCCAUGCGUCUUUCCGACCUGAGACUCCCCGGGUCUGAUUUGCGUCACUUCACUUUUCGGUGUGUGUUAUGCGAAAACCAACACAACCAAUGGGUCCAGCAGGUGUCGGCAACCAAACCCCAGAAGAAUAUCCGACAGAAACCCACUCACGCGGUUGUCAUAGUUCUGGAGUCGCAACGCAUCUAUCACACACGCCUAUUGUGUGAGGCUGUUUCCGGACAGCUUUCAAGAAUUUUUUUUCUCUCAAGGUCACACAGUGAUUCCGAACCUACCCUGCUGAUCAACUCCCUAUCCUGCCAUUCUCUGUAAGCAGAUUGAGUUUUCUGGUGAAGUUUUUGGCUUCUUCAACCACUUUUUCAGUUAUUUCCUUUAUAAUUGAGGUUGCCUAGCAGUUCUUGACAGUCAUCUGGAAAUUUCAAUCAUUGACUCUGGGUUCCAAUGCAGUCAGAUUCACUUUUCUGGAAAGAUCUGUGUUUUGCAGUGGAAUCUCAGAUUUUUAUUUGCAUUGUGGACCUCGACUAAGGUGCUUGCAGCCCUCCUCAUUAUUUCCAGGCUUUUACAGAAACUACCACUCAAUUCCAGCAGUCUCGUGAGUUAUAUUUUGUGAUUACUUGCAUAGAACUCUCUUCAAUCCAACCAUGUCUCUUGGAUUAGGUGUUUUUACUUCUAAAAAUACGAGAAUGGAAAUUCAAGUCUUAUGAUUAGCUUAGAAUCCUUUAUGGGAAGAUCAAAAAAUCAAAAAUUCCAGUCUAUCAAGAAUGGGAAGAUCAAAAAAUUGAAAAUGAAGAAUAGACAAGAGGAGGUCGUUUUGGAAGAUGUCACCCUAAGUGUAGUUAUUGUAAUAGGUUUGGAUACCACUCAUGAAGUAUGUUAUUCCCUGCAUGGUCAGCCACCCAAGAAUACUCACGUCGCCCAGACUAACACUACAGGUAAUCAAGGAGUUUAUUUAUUUGAAGGGAAUAUGAUGAGUUCCUUCAAUAUUGAGCAAGUAGAAAUCUCUACAAGUAGCCUCAGUUACUUAGCCUGAUACUUUAGUUGUUGGUGUUUCACAGUCUAAUAUCCCUGGACCAUGGGUCAUGGAAUCUGGUCUGAUACUUUAGUUGUUGGUGUUUCACAGUCUAAAAUCCCUGGACCAUGGGUCAUGGAAUCUGGUACCUCUGAUCAUAACACUGGUUAUAAAUCACUUCUAUCAAAAAUUGUUUAUUCACAGUCCCGACCCACCCACCUUCGCGGUCACUUAAGUCAAUGUGAUCCAAACAAAAGCGGAUGGAGUUGGACAAGCUAACCCCCUAUCUAUCACUCUAAACUUGAUUCUUUAUCUCCCUAGUUGUCUUUUGAAUCUUGCAUCUAUCAAUCAUUUGACUCGCGCCCUAAAUUGUGUCGCAAUAUUUGUUGAUGAUUCUUUUGUAAUACAGAGCCGUAGUACAGGACGGCGCAACACUUCAAGGCCUUUACUACCUUACGUCUCCUAAUUCCUAUUGUCUGAGCAACUGUUUGAUCCAAAGUAGCUUACAAGUUGUGAUACGGGUGUAGCAAGCUGUCCAACAAGUUCACGACCAUUCCCACGUAGCCAAGCUAGGGAGUUACAAAAACUCCAAGCCUUGUUCAUGCAAACGGCCGUGUGUGAGUUGGUGAUUGAUCCACCUACUGGUCUAAAUGUUUUUAAGUGUGAAGAGGAACCUUGAAGUGUAAUAAACUUACACUCCAAGGCCACCCCAUAGCAAGGGCAAACUGGUCAUUUUCUCCUUUAUUUAUGGUGUAAUAUAAAUAGAUGAUAUUAGGAUUAUUUGGCAGCUGGUUCUUUCAUACUAUUUUGAGACAUAAACACUUGUAAUAUUGAGGAACUUCUCUCUCUUCCAUUGGAGAAGCCCCAAAUCUGAAAGCUCACAAGUAGAGAGAUACUUGUGUUGUAUCUUGGCUAGAAACAAGGAUCUUAAGGUCAUAGAGUUCCUCUUGGUCCAAAUAAGAACUUGGUGUUAAUAUUCUUUAGUCUUAGGGUCCUCUCUUGUUGUUAGGGUUCUUAGGCUCUUGAAUAUUACAUGCCAAGUUACUAUCUUCUUGUAAUCUUGUUAAGAAUGUGUUUUGUAAUCUUGAAAUCUAGUGAAGCCGUGUAGGGCUCUUUCGAUUCACUAGCACCUUGUUGACUUGCUCGUUCUUGUUGAAAACUUCAUCAUCUUGUUCUAAAAACGUGAUUCUUAAAGUCUAGUGAAGCCGUGUGUGGCCUAUUUCAAUUCACUAGCACUUGUUGUUCAACUUGUUGUUCUUGUGUUAGUUUGUUCAUCUUCUUCUUGUUGUUGGAUUCUUGCAUUGUGGACUUGAUAGUUCAUCAAGUUGCUACAGUCAUUGUCUGAUAUUCUGCUUCUACACUUGAUCAAGCAACCACAUUCUAUCUCUUACUCUUCAAGGAUAUCAAAUUACCUACUAAAACACAAUACCCAGAGGUAGAACAACUAUCAAAAGGCAAUCAUGCCCAAUCAACAUCUAUAUAUCCUAUGAUCUCCUCAUUGCCUCGAAUCUCGAUCCUGAAUGCGGACGACAACAAUGACUACCACAAAGAGACUUGUACAUUGACUUCAGUUAUGUUUGUUCAUGUAGAUUUAUUUCACACUCAUGAACUCCUACAGAUUAUCCGUUUAUGCUAAUAAUUAUUCAAUUCCAUGAGCUCUAUGAAUUUUUAUGCAAAGCAUGAUUUAUGAAAAAUAUGAUUUUCCUUCAAAAGAGGCUUUGAUGAUUCCUUACAAAAGCAAAACCUAUAUGAUUUAAGUCAAAGUUCCAUGACAUGAUUUUCUUACAACUUAUGAUUCUGAGACUCUUAUUUAAAUUAAGGCAAGGGUUCUUAAUCGAGCUCCCUAUAUUAAUUAGGGCAAGGGUGCUCAGUCGAGCCCCCCAUUGAAAUUGGAGCUAGGCUCAGUCAAGCCCCAUUUAACUUGGGUCAAGGGUGCUCAGUCAAGCCCCCUAGUCCAUUGGGGCCAGGUUGCUUAAUGAUAAUAUCAUUUACACGUGUAUGUAUGUUGGUUAAUCUAAGGAACUCCCUUAACGAUAGAAAUGGAUUAUGAAAGACACACAUUAAUGAUUUUCAGACUUCAUCUAUAAUUCUAAGCAUGAUAUGACUAUGUACUCUUAGUUAUCCUUUUUAUUCAGUUAUGUUUCAUGCCUCCUCUACUUUAUAUACAGCACAAUUUCAUAUGUACUUACAUCUCUUUUUUCGAGGCAUUGCAUAUUGAAUGAUGCGGACUCAGGUACUCCGAAUGAACGAGCCGUUAAGUUCAAUGUUUGAGCUAUCGAUGAGCUCCUAUCGUUCUUGAUAAUUAGUCAAUUUCAGUUUGUUCAAUCUUAUUUGUCAUACCAAGGGCUUAUCAAGGUAAACAGAAUUCAGUCAUGUUAGAGGCUUCCUAGAUAGUCAGUUAUUAUGCUCUUUAUGUCAAGUAUUUCAACUUUAACCUUGGAUGUCGUUAUGUUUUGAAACCUAAACAAUUAAGUUAUGAAAAGUUUUUUGUGGAAUUAUCCUCUUUAUGAAUAAUGAAUUUCCACAAGUUUGUUUUUGAACUACGAAUUUCUCAAGCACCUUUGAACUAGUACUCUCGGUGACCUCUUCCAUUUCAGUCACUAUAUUUCAAUUUGUGUUAGUCUCCAUUUGCUUUUAAAGAGUGGAAUUAAUAUUGAAGAUUCAUAGAGCCGACACCAACAAGAUUUGGAUUGAGAAGUAGUAUUAAUUGAUCACUACACCUCAUUAUCUAUCAUGCAUUCUCCUAGACGACUGAAUAUAAAUAUCCGAAAUGUCUGCAUUUUGGCACCGCAAUUCCUAAUUUUCCUAUCAAAACUCUAGAAGGAUUUAUUGCUACAAUACUUAGUUUUGAUGAGUUUCUCAUAUGAUGCUAACUGUGUUUGAUGAAAUCCUUGGACGAAAUAAGCUUAUUUACCAGUAGUUUCCUUUUCAACCUAGACUGGAAAAAAAAAAAAGCAGAUGGAGGAACAACAAACCUCGAGGGCGUGCUUGAAUCUUCGUGAUUUCUGAAGCUCUUUGGAGAUGUGACGGAGGUCGGAGAUGGAUACUUGUCGACCUUCACCGACCCAUCUUUGAAGCACGUUGGUGGCGCUUCUUUUGGGUAGUCUAACACUGAAGAUUCUGCUCUUCAAAUCAUCUACGGUUUCGUCCUUUUCUUCCACAGCAGAAUCCGGUGAGUCUUCAUACACAACUUCAGUUGUUGUAGUGAAGGAUCUAAAUAGACUCCUUUCUCGGCCACGAACAUUUCUGAAUUCCGUACAAAAAGAAAAAGAAAAUAGCAACUAUAACAAGAAUUGCACAACAGAGGUGUAGAGAGAUGGAGAAAAGAAGAGCAUGGAGGUUUUAAUACCUUGUGAGAGUGAGGAAAAUAGAUCGAGCAGCCAUGGGAAGUAGAGAUGAGUUGUGCGACGAACCCUCUCAAAGCUUUGUUUUUUUUUUUUUCGGUUUCCCAAUAUCUAACAGCUGGCAGUGUGAAACUAAUACUGGUUAAUUUUUCGCUGCUGAGCAGAAUUUUUUUUCAUUCACCGGACGUGAAAAUCGACCCCUAACCUCUUGCUUAACUUAAGGGGUGAGGUGCUGAAGCACACAUCAACCCUUAUGGUUCUCUCAAAGCUCUUGUUUUAUUUGGGGCCAAAGCAACUCCAAAUCUUUAUUUUUUAAAAAUUGAUGGUAGAGAAUUAUAAUGUAGGGAAUCAAACACUCGCUAAUAAGGUGGAAGUUCAGGUAACUAACCAAUUAAACUAUUAAAUUCCCCUCCAAAUCUUAAUUUAAAAACAGAAAAACAAACAAAUAUGAACUCUCAGAAAUUACCUUAAAGUAAUUUUCGGUCAUACAUAAUACACUUGUAUAUUAUAUAUUAUACAUAUUUAUAUUACUACUAUAUAAGUGAUGUUUGGGUAACUAGCAAAGGUAUUUUCGUGAAUAACAUCAACACCAAGGAUGUUUUCAUAACUAACACCUAUAAUCAAUAAUGAUGCUUCUGUGGUAAUUACGCUUUCAUGUGUCUUUUUUCUUUACUUUUUAACUUUCCCAAUAAUUUUUCCAAAAUCUCUCUCUCAUGUCCAUUUUCUCUUUUGUUUUUCCUUUCACAAAUUUCAGUCCCUACGCACCUUCACACCAAAACACAAGCUUCAAACAAAAUCUGUUCGCACUUGCUAAAAAACUUAAUUAAAAUCGCCGUAAAUUUUGUGUAUAUAUAAUUGUAGUAAGGUUUAUUUUGGAAAAAUAACCCAAAAAACGAUUGCGAUAUUAAUCUUCCAAGUGGCUGGUAUAGUAUUCUUUCUCUUUUAUUUUCUAUGUUUUCUAUAUAUUUGCGAUAAAUUUAUUAUUUUUUUGAAGCUCAAAUUGUUUAUCAGCUGGGUUAACUUUUAUUUUUAUUGAUUUUCUAAUCUUUCAUGUAUUGAGUGGUUAUUUGUUCUUUCUUUUAGUUUUUAUGAAAAAGGUUUUACUUUGCUGCAAAAAAAUUGUAAUAUCUCUCUGUAUGUUGUAUUAUGUAUCUAGAAUUGAAUCUAUCGUUGAUUCUGAUUUGCAUAUCAAAAAUGGAAACAAAAUGCUUAAAAAAGCUUUUAUAAAUGGCAUUUGUUUGAGUUUAAAAAUGGAAUCUUGGUGAACUAAUCUCCCGCCGACACAACCCAUCAUAGGGCUUGUUGUAAUGGGCGUCCCAAGUCCGUCCAGCACUGGAGACUAUUCCUGUUACCCAACCCAACCUCCAGCCGUCUUUCUUGAGUUGGUUGAAUUUCGAGCAUGUAACAAAAUAGUGUAACAGCUCACACAAUGACUUUGGGAUAAGAUCACAACCGUGACCAACCCAACUGAGUUUAACCAUCUUAUACCAAUAAUCCAACCAUACCAAACCAUACCAAGACAAGGGUCAUAAACCAGGCCAGGACAUUCCAAACAUAAUAUAAUUAAUCCCAAAAUGAAGUAGGAUAGAACAACCAACAAUAUCAUCCAAUGAUGUCAGCCCUUUAGCUUAUUCCAAUGCCAAGGCCAACACCAAUACCGAUCCUGCCCAUUCCAACCCAUAGAAGUACCACAAAGCCUCUAACCAACAUAGUAAUAAAAUUCGAUUGGGACAUGCCCCCAACCAUAGACAAAACCAAUAUCCAAAAUAAAACUAAAAUGUUUAGAAAUAUUCAUAACAUGAAAUGGAGCCUUUCGAAAGGAUGGAAGCUCACCACUUCAGUCCAGAUGUUGUCCUCGAGUCAAUCACUAUGUAGAAGAAGUAGAACGACUGGUCUCUGCUGCAUGGGUAUACAGCCGCCAGUAGACAGGGUUAGGGAGUGAUCGCUAGCAUGAUCUCAAGGUAAGGAUAAAAUAAUGUUAUUUAUAAAACCAAGUAAAACCAUCUAUAUACAUACAACCAUACAUAAUAUAACCAUGCCCGGAAAAGGGAUCGGGUUUAGCAUGUCUUUAAAAUCUUUACUUAGGCUGUGUAGAUUUGCCGUCCUAAACCAACCAUGGGCUAUAUGGGUUCAGCUCCUCCUGUUGAAAGGGCUCCAGUGCGUGUUGCCUCACGACCGGGGAAGUAUCCCUUGUGAUGACUAGUAUAUCCCCCAAAUAUAGUGUGACAUCAUGUACACGGUCACUAAGACCAAUCUCAUUUGGUAAAUAUAAGUUCCAGUUUUGGUCCCCCGAGACCUCCACUUUCCAUGUCUUAGCUACACAUCCCGCCAUUAUUGCCCAAUUAAAACCAAUUUUCAAAUAGCCAAACAAUUAUCCAUUUAUUAACCAAGGCCAUUAUAUUGGUAUCGUCAUACCAACCCUUACUUGCAAGUAUCAUCUAUAGCCAACCAUUUAUAGAUUUAAGGGGACUUUCAAGUGCCCUUCUAUUUACCCUAUUAAACCACUUGGGGGAUUCCAUAAGCCCCUUAAGCAUAACCAUUAUCCAUUUACAAUUCCAAGCUAUUUAAAGUAUGUAUAAUCUUUUUAACAAGUUUUAAAAUAUGCAAGAGUUUCAUUACAAGUAGUCAAUGCAAUGAACAUAUCUUUAUAAGCAUUUUGUCAAACACAUUGGGGGAAUAAUAUAAUCAAAACCAAUUCCAAUAGUUAUUAAACCAUUCACAUGAAAUCCAAUUAUCUAAAACCACCAUUAAUGCAUAUAAAAGCAUAAUUAAAACCAUGGAAAACCAUAACCAACCAUUUAAUAUCGAAACCCCCAAAUCAUAUUUGAAAACCAAAAUCAUACAAUCAAUGAAAUCAUAAAAACAUUCAUACAAAAUAUGCCUUUAGUUAGAAUUAACAAUGAGGGAAGAGAACAUGCCUUAAACCAAGAUGAUGACAGAAAGAAAUCACCAAGACAAGCCCAAAAUUAAUCCUUUAGUUAGAACCCUGACUUUCUUUUCCCAAAAGCUCUUGAAAGAAUUAUGGAGUGUUUUAGAGGAGUUUCUAAGUGUUAAUAAAUGGAAUAAUAGGGUAAAUAAACUCCCAAAUAGGUUAGAAGUCAUGGGGCCCAAUUAGGAUAAGUGGAGAAAUAUUCAGAAUACCCCUACUUAAGUUGCACCAAAAUCCCGUCACAGGAAUACGACUGACCCACACAAGUCGUACCAUCCAAUACGAUUGGUAUACUCCACUCGUAACCUGGCCUCAACCCUUAGAUCAAACAUUGUCCAGUAUACGACUCCUCCACCCAAUUCAUAUUGACAGCAUACGAUUCGUACCCUUCAUCCGUACCCCUGGCAGAUUUAUACCCAAGAAAGAUUUUUACAUUAUCCACCAUACGAGUCUUGGGUAUGACUCGUACCUUGGCUUAUGGCUUAUGGUGAGCCAUUCGUACUCAGAUCCAACCUAAGUAACCAAGUUUAAGAUUAAGUUAAGGAACCAAACAAUCUGUAACCAAUACGACAUACCCUUAAGUCGUAUUUAUUCCAAUAACCAAAAUCUAUCCCACCAACCAACACUAGUCAGUAUACGACUGGACCAUACCAUCUGUACCCCAACAUACAUCUCAUACCCAUGAGUCAUAUUGGUUCCAGAGAUCAGAAUUCUAGAAAAUUUUCUAAGGUCUAGAAACUAAGGCAUUUUAGUCUCCCCUACUAGGAAAUUCGUCCCCGAAUAAUGGAAAAGGUAGGGGUAACCAUACAAAAGAGUCAUUUGUAUUAUGUUAUAAAACAUAUUCCCAAUCUUUAACAAAGUUUGAAAACAAAGAGGCAAAGAUAUUAAUCUUUCCUGUAACAAACUCUAAAAAUAAAGAUGUGUUGAAGACACAUACCUUCCGCACGAAUCCCAAGAGCAGAAAACAAAUGCAGAUAUUUGGACUUCAUGUCCUCUUUCUCUUCCUAUGUAGCUUUUUCCACCUUAUGGUUUCGCCAAAGAACUGUAACGCCCUAAUUUUCUAGAACUGGAACGCCACAUGGUGCUCAAGACCCCGAGGAAACACAAGCUAACCCUUUCUGAUAUCUGCAACUGAGCACUGCAUAAUAUACUGAAAUAAAUGCAGAAAACUGGCGGAAACUUGCCAUAAGGUUCAAAACAUCUAAAAUAAUCAAUACUAAAAACUGAAUACUAAUACAUCUGUCCAAAAAGCCUCUAACUAUUUGAACUAUGGAGUUGAUUGGACAUAUCCCCAACUAACUCCGUCUACUGUAAAUAAAUUGAAUCCAAUACAAUGAUAAAAUAAGGAUCAUCCUCGAAUGAAGAGGACUCACUGCUACGUCUAUUGCUGCUAACUGAGUUUGGACUGCUAAGGGUACUCUAGAUCUCGUGCUUCUGAACCUAUGGUAUCAGACAUCAUAGCGCAAGAGAAAAGUAUGCAUUAGUACUUUGAAUGUACUGGUAUGCUAGAUGAGGUAAGGCUAAAUGCAAGGGCUUAUGCUUGAACAUAUCUCAACUGAAUAAUCAUGAGAGUACUGAAUGAGGACAUAUACAUGAAUGCACAACCAUAACUGAAAUCAUCGUGACUCUGAAUAUUGAGACUCGAAUACUACUUUGCUGACGUUUAAACUCACUACUAAUAUUGAAAAACUAAAUACCUGAAUCUUCUGAUAUUGAUAACUGAGUACUAAAGUUGAGAUCAGUCCUAUCUAGCGAGUGACCUCUGAAUCUAAUGAUACUGAAGCUGAUUAACUAAAUCUACUCAUAUCAAUGACUAAGUUCUAAGCUUGCUACUAUCGACUGAUUAAAUCUGUGAUCAAACCUUUCUAACAGAUGAUCUCUGAAUCUACUAAUAAUGAUAAAGAAUGAUUGUAUCUAAGACCAGACCUAUCUAACGAAAGAUCUCUGAAUAUUUUAAUAAUAGAAAUAAUGGACUGAGUUUGAGAUCAAGCCUAUCUGACGGGUGAUCUCUGCAUCUAUAAGUACUGAUUAUGAUUAACUUUACGUGAGACCAGGCUUAUCUAGCGGGUGGUCUAUGAAUCUAUGGAACUAUCUAAGUUCCUUACUGAGAUGGGUGACUGUAUCUGAUAGUCUUGGUUUCUGAGUUCUACUCUGAAGACUAAUACUGAAACUGCAACUGUGGGAGUUCUCACUUAACCGACAUGCCCUAAAUCUGAUCUGGUGGGGUCCAACCUGUAACCCCAGCUAGAAGGGUAUCAAUACCGUGCCACGGGUAAAGACCUCUACUAUGGUCAAGCUUCUCUAAUGGGUGACCCUGAACAGGAAGUCAAGCCUAAGGCGAUAUGAUAGUCAAGCCUUAAUCUGACGGGUGACUCCUGGUCCUGUGCUGGCUACGCAGUUCUAGAGUUCAGGGACUGUUACUAACGACUUUGUCUCUCUAACGAGGAAUCCGUCAUCCCUAAACUUGCUCGGUGCUAGUUACUACUCCCAACUGAAGGACUCUGAACUAAUUUUUAACUGAACUUAGAUUGAGUUGAAUUUGUUACUGAUCAUACUGAGUAACUGAGUUAAGCUGAGUUUACUUGAUUUCGAAGACUGACAGAAUACUACUGAAUCUCGUUAUCUGACUGAAUACUACUGAGUUUUGUAACUUAUUGGGCUUUACUGAAAUCUGAACUGAAUGUUGAAUACUACUGAGGUCUGAAUUGAAUACUGAGCUGGAUUAGGAUGAAUACUGAGAUUACUGAGUUUUCUUAAUUUCUGUCACUAACUGAAAUCUACUGAUCAUAGCACGACUGAGUUUUAUCUUGAGACUAACUCGGCUCUAGACAAGUAACUAAGUUUUUGGGUAUUAAAUACCCCCAAGACUCGAUAACAUAAAUAAAUAAGACAUGACAACUCUUGCGUAAUAAUCAUAACAAUAGACUAUCAUUCACAAUAUAACCAAUGAAGCAUUAUUUCAAGUACUUGGGAAUCUUAAACAUGUAAUUGUAAAGGAAAAUAUGCUAUUGUCUCAUAACUCACCCAACAAGGAGUUCACAUGAACAGGAAGACAUGCAACAUAUCAUAAUUCAUUCAUUUAGUCCUUUCAACAAACACUUAGCAUGCACUAGUUGACACAUGCUUGGGGGGAUAUUAUACUUCAUGUUAAAAUGACACUAUUUUCUUCACAUAAGCAAUUUAUCAAGCAUGUGGGAGGCACCCUUUGGUCAUAUAACUUUCAACACACCAAAUUAACAUAAUUACAUAAUUUAACAUGCUUUUUGAAGGGGCUUUAUCAUGAAUAUCGCAUAAUCAACACAUACUAGGGUCAAAGCUUGAAUCUUUAUAAUCAAAACAUGAAUCAAAACUUAUUAACAACAUGAACUUCAAUUUCUAUUGACAUAAUUCAUGAAAACUCAUAAAACAUAAACUUUAUAAUUUUGAAAAGGAUUCUUAAACUUCUUGGGUGGAAGGAACCCAAGAAUCAACAUCCAACAUACCUUGCUAUAUAAUUCUUGAAAGAUUCAAAGUGAAACCUUGAUGAUUUGGGUCUUGGAUUAGAAAUCUUAGGUUUUUUUCUUGAAGAAAACUGAGAGAAAACAAUGAUAUUUAGGGGUGUAAAUGUGCUAAAUUUUGUGUUAAAGAGUAUAUAUAGGGAUACCAAAAUGACUGUUUUGCCCUUGGAAUUAAAAUAACAGAACCUAUAAAAAUCCCUAUUUUUCAUGUUGGCGCGAUGUGCCAUAAUCGCGCCAGCUUAUUGGAAAUUGGACAAUUGGAAAACUGCGUCUUUGUGCGAUGCGGUGAAAUCUUAUUACCACCUUGGUUGUGAAUUGAAAAGACACCACGAUGUGGUGGAAUCGCGGAGGCUUAUUGGAUUUUGACGAUUACCAUUUCGUCUAGCUCUGCGACGCGCUGAAGUACCAGGUGGUACAUUGUCUCACUAAAAUAGCACUAACUCUCUGCCCGAGUUUAGACGAAUUUGAUAUCGAUGGAAAGCUUAUUCAAUUUCUGACGUGAUAAAAAGUCGAUAUUAGGGAAAUUCUACACCGUUGUAAAUAUUUCUCAUUGGUAAGUCAGACCUUACUCUUCUUAAGGAUGAAACUCGACUUAAAGAAAAUUCAGGGUAUUACAAGAACCUUAAUCGAAGACACACCCUUAGUCUACAACCAACGAACCUGCCUAUCCAAGAUCUCAAUCGGGACCUCUUCAUAAGACAAAGAAUCAGUGAUACCCAAUCCUUCCAAAGGAAUAAUCGAAGAAAGAUCACCAAUGCACUUCCUCAACGUGGAAACAUAAAAGAACAGAUGAACCAAGCUCAAGCUAGAAGGUAACUCCAGCUCAUAAGCAACAUUACCAGUUCUUGGCAAACCAUACUACUCCCUUCACGGGAGAUACCUUGAGAAAAACCUUAUCCCCAACCUCCAAUUCCAAGUCUCUACGCCUAACAUCCGCAUAGGACUUUUGGUGACUUUGGGUAGCCUUAAGCCUAUCCCAAAUUACCUUUACCUUAUCCAUAGCCCGGUAAAUCAAAUUGGGACCAAACAUGUCUGCCUCACCAAGCUCAAACAAACCAAUAAGAGAUCCGCACCUCCUGCCAUACAAUGCCUCAAAAAGGGCCAUACCAAUACUAGAAUGAUAACUAUUAUUGUAACCAAACUCCACCAAAGGUAGAUGCUCAACCCAAUUGCCACCAUAAUCAAUCACACAGGACCAAAUUAUAUCCUUCACUAUCUAAAUAGUUCUCUUCGCUAGCCCAUUCGUCUACGGAUAGAAAAUAGUACUCAGACUCAUCUUGGUCCCCAACCCUCUCUGCAAAGAUCACCAGAAGUGAGAUGUAAACUGCGUUACCAUAAUAAAAAAUAAUUAAAAUAGGCACCCCAUGUAGCUUCACAAUAUCCUGAAGAUACAGCUUCGCAUAAUUCUCCACCAAAAAGGUAGUCUGCACUGUCAAAAAAUGCACAGACUUAGUCAUCCUAUCCAUGAUGACCCAAAUUGAAUCAUAUUCAUUUCAAGAUCAAGGAAUACCGGCAACAAAGUCCAUAUUGGUAACUUCCCACUUCUACUCAGGCAAAUCAGUUUCUUGAAACAACCCUCUUAGCCUCAUGUGCUUAACCUUAACCUGUUGACACACCAUGCACUUGGCUACAAAAUCAGCCGCAUCCUUCUUUAUACCAUUUCACCAAUAAAUCUCCUUGAGAUUAUGAUACAUCUUAGUCGAGUCGGGAUAAAAAGUAUAGCAUGACUUAUGUGCCUCAGCCAAAAUCCUUUGUCGUAACCUGUUGAAAACAAAAACACACAACCUCCCUUGGUACCGUAAAAUACCAUCGCCACUGAUCUCAAACGUCACUACCUUUUGCCCACCAAUAUCACUCUUGAUUUUCAUCAAGAUAGGAUUUAGUACUUGUUUUUCCUUAAUCUUCACACCAAGAGAUGAUCGAACAAAUUCUUGCACCACCACACCACUAUCCUUGGAGUCCAAGAGGCGAACUCUAAGAUUAGCCAAACAGUGAAUAUCCUUCACCAAUUCCUACUUUUCUUCCUCCACAUAAGCCAAACUCCCCAUAGAUAACCUGCUAGGAGAAUCAACAACCACAUUAGCCUUAAUUAGGUGAUAGUGAAGACUCAUAUCAUAAUCCUUGAGAAGCUUAAGCCAUCUCCUCUACUUCAGAUUAAGCUCUUUUUAAGUGAAGAUAUGCUGUGGACUCUUAUGAUUAGAAAAGAUAUCCACACGAACACCAUACAAAUAAUGCCGCCAUAUUUUCUAAGCAAACACAUCCACCAAUAGCUCCAAAUCAUGAGUAGGAUAAUUCCUCUCAUGUACCUUCAACUGCCUCGAAGCAUAGGCAAUCACCUUCUUAUGUUCUAUGAGCACACAACCCAGCCCUACCCGAGAUAUAUCACAAUAAACCACAAACUCAUCAUUGUCUUCUAGCAAAGUCAGAAUUGGAGAUGAAGUUAACUUAUUAUUUAACUUCUUAAAACUCUCUUCACAAGUAUUUGAUCAAAAAAACUUAACCUUCUUCUGAGUUAACUUAGUCAAUAAAGCAAAUAUCGAUGAAAAGCUUUCCACAAACUGCCUGUAAUACCUAGCUAAACCCAAGAAGCUCUAAAUGUCGAAUGGAGUUGUAAGUCUAGGACACCUCUUCACCACAACAACCUUUUACAGAUAUACCAUGAUCCCUUCACUAAAAAUAAUAUGAUCCAAGAAAGUUACGACGUUCAACCAAAACUCACACUUGGAGAACUUGGCAUAUAAUUGAUGUUUCUUUAAGGUUUACAACACCAUAUGGAAGUGAUUAGCAUGAUAUACCCCCGCUCUUCAAAUAAAUCAGAAUGUCAUCAAUGAGCACGAUAAUGAAAGGAUCCAAAUACUGAUAAAAAACUCUAUUCAUCAGAUCCAUAAACACUGUCGGAGCUUUAGUCAACCCAAAUAACAUUAUCAAAUCCUCAAAGUGCUCAUACCAAGUACGAAAAGCCAUCUUAGGGAUAUUCACCUCCCUAAUCUUUAGUUGAUGAUACCCAGACCAAGGAUCUAUCUUUGAAAAGAAUUUGGCACCUUCCAACUGGUCAAACAAAUUAUCUAUCCUUGGAAGAGAAUACUUGUUAUUGAUCGUCACCUUGUUCACCUGCCUAUAGUUAAUGCACAUUUGAAGGAAACCAUCUUUCUUACGUACAAACAACAUCAGUUUACCUUAAAGAGAUACACUAGGAUAAAUAAACCCUUUAUCUAGAAGAUUCUUAAGUUUCUUUUUGCGUUCCCUUAACUAAGCCGGAGCCAUUCUAUACAGAGGGAUAGAAAUUGGAUGAGUGUCUGAAAUUAGAUCAAUACCAAACUCUAUUUCCUUAUCUGGAGGAACACCAAAAAGAUCAUCCAAAAAAACCUUGAGAAACUCAUUAACCAUUAGAAUUGACUAGAAAGAAGGACCUUUCGAGUUAGAAUCUUUAAGUCAGACUGUGUGAUAAAGACACUCUUUAAAGAUUAACCUCCAAGCUUUAAGAUAAGAAAUAAACCUCCCCCAGGAUCUACAGAAACACCCUUCUAUUCAAUAACCGGCUCACUAGAGAACCUAAAAAUAAUCUGACGGGUCCGAUGAUCCAAGGACGCAUAAUAAGAGUGUAACCAGUCCAUACCUAGAAUGACAUUAAAAUCCACUAUAUCCAACUCAAACAGAUUCACCAAGGUUUUCUUUCCACCAACAGAUACCACACCCCCUAUAGACUCUCUUAGUAAUAAUUGAGUCACCUACUAGGAUAGAAAUAGAAAAAGGAUCUGAAAUAACUUUUGGAUUAAAACCAAAAGAUAUAACCACAUAAGAAGUCACAUAGGAAAGAGUGGACCCCAGAUCAAGCAAAAAUUAUAUGUCACGAGAGAAAAUUUUUAACUUACCAGUAACGACAUCAGGUGAUACCUUAAAUUCCUGUAGAGACACCAAAGCAUACAACCUGUUCCGACAAACACUAGAACUAAGAGUAUUAAUAGAAGUAGAUGCACCACCACCAGGUGUAGGAGUAGAAGAUAAAGCCAUGGGAAUCUUAUUCGCCCUUAUAGCAACCUUAUUAACUGGAUAAUCCCUGAGUCGAUGGCUAGCCUAACCACACUUUAAGAAUUUGUCCUUUCUUUUAUCACAAUAACCCCAAUGAGGAUGACUACAGAACCGAAAAAGAGGGCAUGAAGAAACUUAUCGACCUUCACCUGCCUGACAUUAGGCACUCUGCGUGUAAUAACUUGUACUUUUCCUAGCUUGAAAAGUUUUCCGAAAAAUUUAGAAGCUUUCUUUAAAAGAUGAAUCCACUUUUAUACACAUGUUAUUUUCAAUAUUUUCAAUUUUUAUCAUGUGGGAAAUCGAAUAAAAUUUCCAUUGAUACCAAAUUCACCUAAAUCUGACACCCGGGUGAAGAGUUAAAGCCUUUUUAGUAAGACAAUGUAUCACCUGAGCCUUCAGUGUGCCGCGGAGAUAACUCAAAUGGCAAUUGUCAAUUUCUAGUAUUUCUCUGUAAUAAUAGAGCAUUGUGCCAAACUUCCAGGUUGCAGACAAGGUGGCAACGCAAUAGCUCCGCAUCGCACCACCAUGUAAUUUCCCAUUUGUCACUUUCCAGUGACUUGGCGCGAUAGUGGCGCAUCGCGCCAACGAUAAAAAUUGGAAAAUUUUCUCAAAAAUGAAAGAUGUGUCCAAGGUUAAAAGGGUUAAUUUUCCACCCCUAUAUAUACCCAAUAACACGUGAUUUAGUCAUUCUUCAACCAAAAUAUACUAGUUUCUCUUAAGAACAAGCUAGGGUUUCUAUUGGGGAUUCAAAUUUAAGAAGGUUUCACUGUCAAUUCUCAAGAAAUCACAUCCCAGGUAUGCGUAGUAUUCAUUCAUGGACUCUUUUCAUCCAUGAAGCCCGACAAUCUCUUUUCUAAGUUUAAGUUUAUGGAUUUCUUUUUGAAUUUCAUAUUGGGUUUGUUUUGUUUAUGUUGAGAAUGAUCAAUUGAAUUCAAAUCCAUUUUGGGUGAUCAAUUUUAUCUAGAAUUGAUUUGUAUAGAUGUAUAUUCAUGUGAACCUAUAAAUAAACCCUAGGAUGAUAAAAUUAGAGAUGAAUCAUGAUGAUUAAUUGUUGUAUAAUGUUACCUACAUGUGCUAUGCCUACCAUGUGUAUGAUUAAAUGCCUAGAUGAAGGAACAAUGCCCAACUAGUAUGAUAUUAUGAAAUCCUCAUGUAUGUACAAGCUUAUGCAUAUCACAUGUUUAAUGAAGUUCUUCAAUAUAUGAAUUAUGAAUUAUGUUAUUGGUCAUGUGUUCAAGUAAGCCAUGCAAUGUCAGUUUCUUCUCAUCGAGUCCUGGGGGUACUUGUACCCGAAUAUUUAGCUAUGUGCCUAGAGCCAUGUCAUGUUUUCACGAUCUCCUCAGUCAAGCUAUGAUCCAUAGAACUUAGUCGGUCAUGUAACUCAGGAAAUCUCAGAAAUCUCAGUAAUUUCAUGUCACGCCUCAAAUCCUAUUGAGGAGGACUGGCACCCGUAACCGAGGAGGCCCUGGAGAACCAGCUCAUAACCUUAUACUUCCCAUGCAUACCUCUAUGACAACUCAAAAUUCGGACAGCAUCAUGUCGCAUAUAAAAGGAAGUAAUCACCUGUAUAAGCUCAAGCACACACAUAUAUAUAUAUAUAUAUACAAUCCUUGGCCGUUGGAGCCAUCACGUCUAUUAACAAAAUACCUCCUCGACUAUACAUUAGGUCUACAAAGCCUCUAGAUAAUACACAGAGUUUAAUUAAGGUCGGGACACACCCCACCAUAUAACUAACUUCUAUACAAUACCAAAAGUGACUGGAUAUGACACAGAAAGCACCGAAGCAAACUGGAGCUCACCAAAAGCAGCUGGGUAUCCUAGCUCCUACUUGUGCGGUGUAUGAGCUGAGGUACCUGUGCCUGCAGCAUAAAAUGCAGGUCCCCCGUGGGGGACGUCAGUACGAAAUAUGUACUGAGUAUGUAAAGCUGUAGAUAAUCACAUAUGAUAUAGAAGCUCAAUAGAAAUCAGAAACAAGUGAAUAAAUCGUAAUAGGAGUGGACCACACUUACUAGAACUUGUGACAACCUGUACAUUGUAUUUAUUCAAUCACUUUAACUUCAUUCUUAUCAUCUUUGUAAUCAUUACUGUAUUGUAUUAUGACCAUUAGGCUGCCUCCAGUACAUAUCAACUAAGAUUGACCUAUGAUAGGCUUAUGCCCCUGGGAUACCACCCAUAAACACAUAAAUAGGGAUCGACCCAUGAUUGGCUUAUGCCCCUGGGAUACCACCUAAUAAGAGAGAACUUCCAUCACUUAGUUCAAUUAAUCUUUGAGAUUGUUAUUUUGGUUGCCAUCGUAUUUUUGAUACUUUGAAACAAUGAUACAUCAAUAAGAGACAUAUAAAUAGACCAUCAAUGCAAUAACAAUGAAGUAAUAACUAAUUGGCACAUCAAUGAAGUGUUUUGGAGUCAUCAAUGCCAUAACAAUGAAGUAGGAACUUAUUGGUAAAUCAAUGAAACGUUUUAGAGUCAUUAAUAGCACAUUUAUCUUGUUUGAGUAAGCAGAUACCUUUUGACAUUCAUUAGUGCAAUAAACAUGUAAUGAUACUUUGAAAUAAUGAUACAUCAAUAAGAGAUUAUAAAUAGACCAUCAAUGCAAUAACAAUGAAGUAAGAACUCAUUGGCACAUCAAUAAAGUGUUUUGGAGUCAUCAAUGCCAUAACAAUGAAGUAGGAACUUAUUGGUAUAUCAAUGAAACGUUUUGGAGUCAUUAAUAGCACAUGGAUCUUGUUCGAGUAACCAGAUACCUUCUNNNNNNNNNNNNNNNNNNNNNNNNNNNNNNNNNNNNNNNNNNNNNNNNNNNNNNNNNNNNNNNNNNNNNNNNNNNNNNNNNNNNNNNNNNNNNNNNNNNNNNNNNNNNNNNNNNNNNNNNNNNNNNNNNNNNNNNNNNNNNNNNNNNNNNNNNNNNNNNNNNNNNNNNNNNNNNNNNNNNNNNNNNNNNNNNNNNNNNNNNNNNNNNNNNNNNNNNNNNNNNNNNNNNNNNNNNNNNNNNNNNNNNNNNNNNNNNNNNNNNNNNNNNNNNNNNNNNNNNNNNNNNNNNNNNNNNNNNNNNNNNNNNNNNNNNNNNNNNNNNNNNNNNNNNNNNNNNNNNNNNNNNNNNNNNNNNNNNNNNNNNNNNNNNNNNNNNNNNNNNNNNNNNNNNNNNNNNNNNNNNNNNNNNNNNNNNNNNNNNNNNNNNNNNNNNNNNNNNNNNNNNNNNNNNNNNNNNNNNNNNNNNNNNNNNNNNNNNNNNNNNNNNNNNNNNNNNNNNNNNNNNNNNNNNNNNNNNNNNNNNNNNNNNNNNNNNNNNNNNNNNNNNNNNNNNNNNNNNNNNNNNNNNNNNNNNNNNNNNNNNNNNNNNNNNNNNNNNNNNNNNNNNNNNNNNNNNNNNNNNNNNNNNNNNNNNNNNNNNNNNNNNNNNNNNNNNNNNNNNNNNNNNNNNNNNNNNNNNNNNNNNNNNNNNNNNNNNNNNNNNNNNNNNNNNNNNNNNNNNNNNNNNNNNNNNNNNNNNNNNNNNNNNNNNNNNNNNNNNNNNNNNNNNNNNNNNNNNNNNNNNNNNNNNNNNNNNNNNNNNNNNNNNNNNNNNNNNNNNNNNNNNNNNNNNNNNNNNNNNNNNNNNNNNNNNNNNNNNNNNNNNNNNNNNNNNNNNNNNNNNNNNNNNNNNNNNNNNNNNNNNNNNNNNNNNNNNNNNNNNNNNNNNNNNNNNNNNNNNNNNNNNNNNNNNNNNNNNNNNNNNNNNNNNNNNNNNNNNNNNNNNNNNNNNNNNNNNNNNNNNNNNNNNNNNNNNNNNNNNNNNNNNNNNNNNNNNNNNNNNNNNNNNNNNNNNNNNNNNNNNNNNNNNNNNNNNNNNNNNNNNNNNNNNNNNNNNNNNNNNNNNNNNNNNNNNNNNNNNNNNNNNNNNNNNNNNNNNNNNNNNNNNNNNNNNNNNNNNNNNNNNNNNNNNNNNNNUCAAUGAUUGAUGAUGAAAAUGAGUUUUUGAACUCAUAUACAUGUAUAUAUACACAUAUUCCCAUCCAUAAUAUCAUAGGGAAUGACCAAAGUGCCUCUAAAAUUUAAAUAAUGUCAAAUCUGUCCUUUGGUGGACUAUUUUGGUAAGCUAAAGUAGAUCGACCAUAACUCUUUGCUCCGAUAUCGGAUUUGGGUGAAAUUGAUAUAGUUGGAAAGAUAAUUAAAAGGGAUUUAAUUUUGUAUAAAGUAGGCCACCCAGUUUGUCCUGUACAAGGAGUUAUGGUCGUUUGAAGUUGACCCUAAAAAUCUGUUUUAAGAGGCUGAAGUAAAAUGAGUAUAACUCCUUACUCAGAUGUUGGAUUUGGAUGAAACCAAUUGAAUUGGAAAGAAGACUCAAAGAUAUUUCUUUUCAUAGGUCGCAACUCUCCCAGUUCAUUAUAUUAAGGGAGUUAUGAUCGUUCAAAAUUGACCCAAAAAAUUGGCUGGCCUCAUAGUUUGUAUGCAGGAAAUUUUCCUGCACAUUUACUAUUCCCAAUAUCCCGGCCACCGUUUUAUAGUUUCAAAUGUGCUCGAUUAUAUCCGAAACCUAUCCGUUUUUGGAAAUCUUUAUAUCGUUGGAAAUCUUAUUCAAUAACCUUCGCAUGGAACCAUCGAUGGGCAAAUUCUGGUAUAAAUAAAAUAAAAAAAUUAAUUCCAUAUAAAUAAGACCAAUACACGUACUUGAAUACGCCAAUAUAUGUACUUGAAUAUGGGGUGUUACAUUUCAGUAGCUCAGUAAUCUCAGUAACCUCAGUAUUCCCAGUCAAUCUCAGUAACUUCCGUAUUCUCAGUCAGUCCUUAGAACUCAGUAUAUUCCGUCAGUCAAUGGAGCUCAGUAAUUUAGUUUAGCUCCACUAGACAAUACCACUAGUAUUAGUUUAGUUUAGUUAAUCAGCUCAGUUCAAUUAUUCAGUUGAGUAUCUUUCAGAUGGGAGUACGAUUCAGCAUUGAGAGAGCCUAGGGAUGGGGGCUCACCCACUAGAUAGGACGAGCAAUCCCUAAGUUCCUUAACUACGUAACUAGCAUAGGUACGAUAUAUCACCCGUUAGAUAGGACUGGCAUACUCAGGGAUCACCCGUUAGCACAUUUAAAUGUAUAGGACUGAUCCCAGGGGUCACCCGCUAGAUUAGGACUGACUCCACAUCAAUUAUAUUUACUAGUGGCACGGUACUGGCACCCUUCCAGCUGGGGCUAUAAGUUGGACCCCAGUUAGAUUAGUAUGGGGCAUGUUAGUUAGAUGAAUACAUCCCACAGUUUCAGUUACAAAAUCAAGACUAUUAGAUACAGUCAAUUUAGCUCAGUAGUAUUAAUUUAGGACUGUUAGAUACAGUCACUCCUUAUAAUUUUAAAUAGACUCUAGGAUCACCCACUAGACAGGACUGAUCUCAACUAUGGUCAAUCAGUAAUGGUAUCAUCAGAUUUAGAGAUCACCCGCAAGAUAGGACUAAUCUCAGAUUCUGUUACUCAAAUACAGUAUGGAACUUAGCUAGUUCCUUUAGAUUCAGGACUGUCAGAUAUAGUCACUCAUAUUAUCAGUUAUAUUAGUUAUCAGAACUUAUAUUAUUAGCAUUCAGCUUUAGAACUGUCAAAAAGUCAACCAGAUAGUUCUUUAGAAUUAGAACUAUCAGACAUAGUUAUCCAUGUAUUAAUAAUAUAAUAUCAGUCCCUCAUUAUUCAGUAAUACAGUAUCCAUUUCUCAUACAUCAGUAACUUAGAUGUCAAUGUCAGUACACUCAGUAGUCAAAAUUCAGUAUCCAGUCCUAUCAUGAUCUCAGUUACAGUUACGUACGCAUGCAUGUAUUCUCACAUUCAUGUUAGUCAGUCAGUUAGUAUUGUUCAUGUGUAUGAACUUAUUGUAUUCAACCUACCUCACUUGCAUACCAGUACAUUCAAAGUACUAACGUAUUUGCGUUAUGGUGUCUUAUACCAUAGGUUUAGAAGCACAAGCUCCAGAGAACUAGUAGCAUCCUAGUUCAGUGAUCAGAAUUAACAAUGAGUCCUCAUCCUUCGAGAACAUGAUGAUCAUAUUACUAUUUUAGUUUUCAGUUUAUUUCAGUAGUUUAAGUUAGUUGGGGACAUGUCCCAUUAACUCCUUAUUCAGAUAGUUUAGAGGCUUUCAGACUAUAGUAUGUUUAGACAAUUAUCUCAGUUGUUUUGGUAUUGUUAUACCAUAUUUUUUUAGUUAUGUACUAGUAUUGAACCUUAUGGCCUUUCAGUUCAUGUUUCCGUAUUUACGAUAUUAUUACUAUUAUUUAGUGCUCAAUUUCCAGAUACCAGUUAUGGGUUAGCUUAUGGUUUUUCGAGGUCAUGGGCACCGUAUAGCAUUCCGAGUACUAGAUUCGGGGUAUUAUACUGUGCCCAAAAAUUAUCACCACCAUGAUAAUGCAUGUUGCCCGACUGGUAAAAUGCACUGGCAGUAGAGUAGGAACUAGAACUCCCCCACUUCUUUUUCUGCCAUUUGCCACUAUUUCGACCACCUUAAGACAAAGCACCUCCCCGGAUAAAAAACCCACUCCUCUUACCCUAUCUAUCCUAAAACUCUACAUUCUUCCUCCUUUUAUCCUCUACCUCCUACAUAUGAACAAUCAUUCAAACCAGUAAGUCACUUACACUUAGCAUGCAGAUUUCUUUGAAAGUUUAUUUAAAUUGUUACAUUAUUAUUUUACUUAUGCAUUCACCAUCACAUGAUCAAUACAUUACAAAAGUAUUGAUCCACAUGUAAGUAUAAGUGCUACAUUGUUAAUAAUAUAGGUACCAGUUCAGUUGUAGUCCAUAUAUCACGAUUAGACAGUUGUAGAUUCCAGCCAGCAGAUGAUGAGUCCUCCUACUUUGGGGACUUCAGUUAGAUGUUAUUUAUGUACUUGACUUUCUUUCACAUAUGUAUUAAGUAGUGGUAGUUAGAGUCGCAUCCCAACAAUCUAUAGUAAGUAUAGUAGAGGCUUUAUAGAUGUCAAUCAGAGUCAAUCAUGUAAUUUCAGUUCUUUUUUUCAGCUUUAUCAGAAUGUAAAAUUGUAUCAGUAUUUUAUUUUCCCGAGAUUUCAUCAUGAUUAUGUUUCUGCAUAGUAAACUCAGUUAUUUUAUACAUAUUUAAAUCAGUUUCUUAAUAGUAUGCCAUCUCAUGGGUUAUCUUGGGAUCACUUAUAGUCCUAAGCACCGUGUGACAUCUAGGGGGUAGUCUCGUGGUAUUACAAUGGUAUAUAUUGCACCACAUUUAUAAAUCUGCUAAAUAAAGAGAAUUGUUAGCUUCCUAUAAUAACUUAAUUGAAUGCCUAUCAGAAGAUACUACUUACAAAAUUCCAUGUAGUUUACAUCGCUUAUUUGCCACACUAUUGGUAUAUUGUAAUCCUACUAACCCAAAAACUUUAUAGGAAAAAUUUGAAAAACCCAUGUUUGAAGAUUUUACAAUUACAAUAAAUAUACAAACAACUAACAUUCAUUAUAUAGUUAUGAAUCACAUAAACACCAUAUUACAUUUAAUGGGAUGAAAUAUAAAUGAGUUCAAACUUAUAUAAAUUUUUUUUACAUAUUUUAGAUUUUCUUACAGAAUAAUGUAAGAGUCUAGAGACAUCUAUUUAGAAAGAAACAUAGUUAUAACUAAAGAAGAUUUUGAUGAUAUAUAUUAUACUAAAUAAAGAGUAGCAUACUGCUUACAAUGCCAUUAUUAAUAAAAUAUUCUCAAAUAAAUUGGAAGCUUUUAAUAUUAAUGGACUAGGAGAAACUGGAAAAACUUUUUAUACUGAGAUUUACUCACUAUUGUAAGAUCCGAAGGUCUUAUUACUUUAGCUACAACAACUUCCAGUGUUGCAGGUUCUGCACUCCCCAGAGGACGAACUGCUCAGUUAUGCUUCAAAAUUCCUAUCAACAUAGGCAAAAAUUAUAAUUAUAAUAUAAGUAAACAAAGUUCACUUGCUGCUUUAAUUCAAGAUACUAAGUUAAUAGUAUAGGGUGAAGUAUCAAUGGCAACGAAAAAACUUCUAGAGACUUUUGAUUUAUUUCUAAGAGAUCUUAUGAGUAUAAAUAGACCUUUUGGUGGAAAAGUUAUUAUUUUUGGAGGUGAUUUUAGACAAAUGUUACCAGUUGUUAAAAGUGUAGUAAAAGAAGAUUUCAUUUGUGAAUGUUAUUGAACUCAGAUAUUUGGAAUUAUCUUAAAAAGUUUUGGCUAACUGAAAAUAUGCAUGCACGAGAAGAGCCUACAUUUUGUGAAUAUUUACGUAGAAUUAACGAUAGAAAAGAACAAGUUAUUCACCAUGACAAAAUUAAGAUUCCGGAAUCCUUUCUUAUUUCUUUUACAAAGGAGAAAGAGCCAUUAAAAAAAUUAUUCAAAACUAUUUACCCAAACUUAAACAUGAUCAUGAUGGAUACAUCUGAUGUAACAUCAGAUGUUAUCUUAAUAACCAAAAAUGAUUUUGUAAAUAAAAUUAACCAAAUGUUCAUAGAUCAAUUCCCUGGUACUGAUGUAACAUUAGUUGGUAUUGAUGAAACAAUAGAGCCAAUUGACCAAAGCGAGUUUGAAGAUUUCUUACAUACUUUAAAUCCUGCUAGAUUGCCUCCUUAUAAGUUAGUUCUAAAGAAAAAUUGCCGAGUUAUAUUACCACACAAUUUAAAUCCUUCUGAAGGUUUAUGUAAUGGUACCCACUUAAUUUGUAUUGAUUUUACAGCUCAUAUUAUUAGUUCUAAAAUUGCAAGUGGGGAUUUCAAAGGCAAAUAUGUUUUCAUUCCCCGCAUACCAUUAUUAUCACCACAAGAUGAAAAAUUUCCAAUUCAAUUCAAGAGAAAAAAAUUUCCCAUUCGAUUAUGUUUUACUAUGACUAUAAACAAAGCUUAAGGUCAAACACUAGAUUUGUUUGAAUUUACUUACGGGAACCUGUAUUUUCACAUAGCCAACUUUAUGUUACUUUAUCAAGAGCAAAAAGCUCAAACUGUGUAAAAAUGAUAAUACAACCAACAACAGCAGAUGAUCCCGAUGAUCAUUCUACUUACAGUAUAGUAUAUAGUGAAAUUAUUAAAAAGGCAUUCUCUUAAAAAUAAUUUUCACUGAUUUCAUAUAAAUUUUCUACAUUUUGAUUUUUACUAUUUGAAAUUCGUCAAUCAACUCCUACGCUACUCCUACAAUCUCAAAUAUCUUUAUCUUUUGCUGGUAGUCGACUUUAGAAUUUCAAAUCUAACCAAACUUGGAAGCACCUCUUCACAAAUAUUCCUAAUGAGUACCUUUGAUUAUAUGUGUUCAAAGUAAGAAUCUAAUUGUAUCUAAUAUUAUGUGAUAUUUUAUAGCUGUAUUUUCCAAGUUUUCUAUGCUAUGAUAAUAUCUACAAUGCUUCUAUCUCCUAAAAUUUUUAUUGGUUUCAACAAUCAUAUUCAAAAUCACUCCACAAUAUAUUUAUUUCCCUGAAGGUAGCUUAAAUACAAUCAAUGUGAAUAAAAAUAUGUCCUUAUGUGCAUCAAUGUGUAUGUUAGAAUGAAUAAUGAAUAUAAUGUCUUUUAUGUUCCCUUUCAAUGAAUGACCUUAAGCUACUGCCUGAGUCUUUAUGGGCUUAAACUUAUCUACUGGGCUACUACUUAAUUAUUAGAUUUUCUUCAUUUUCUGUUUCUGCUCAUCCAGGGAAUACCUGAAAAUAUAUAUACAGGUUGUGAAGCUUUAUGUUAUUUUACACUAAUGAAUCAGUCACCAUUUUCAUGAAUCCUUGGCAAGAGCAUUUAAGCGUUUAUGAUGCUAUAAACGGUAAAAUAGAUUUUGCAUUGUAAUGUAGGAUGUUUAAAAUUUAUACAUUUCUAAUAUAAGAAUAUUUUUGUUUGCUUAGGGAGGACAAAAAAAUAUUCCAACAAAAUAAUCCUUUUUAUCUUGAAAUUCUUUUUCUUCAUGUCAUCCUUGGAAGGGGUUAGGGAAAGGAGUACCAGUAGAAUACUACUUAAAAAGGUGCUCUAUACUAUAAUGGUAUGUUUUAAAACCACACUUUUAUAAGAAGGUGAAAAGGAGAUUUAAAUCUCAAAGUUGUGGCACAAAUAAAUUGAUCCAAACAUUGUAUUAUCCUUUUUAACUGAAGAAUUAAUUGGUCAAGACGUUUGAUAUAUGUUUAUAUAUAUUUUUCCUAUGAUGAGAUUGUAGUACAUAAGUUCACAAACAUGCCCAGUUAAUUGGAGCAAUAGUUUUACCUCUUUUGCUUUAUUAUUCAUCUUCAAAUUAAUGUGGGUUAGUUUAAAUUCUUUUGCCAACUGUACUGCAAUAGAUCUAAAGAAGCAGAAAUUGUACUAAAGCAUUACUUAAAUUAGUAAUUUGCUUAAUUUCUCUUGAGAUCUUCUAUGUUUCUUAUGAAAUAGUCUAGCUAUUUUCUAUCAAACAUAUGAGAGCUCAAAGAAAUAUAUGUGAUACGAUUCAAAUGGCCAACAUAGCUUUUGAUGCCAUCAUUCAAUGCCAACACAUGAAGAAUUGAGUCGUGAUGACCUCGAGGACACAAGAACAUACAUGGAGGACCCAUUUUGAUCACUCAAUAGAGUAAUUCCACAUAUGGAAGGUUUCUUAGGGCUUGUAACAUAUUUUGGAAAAGCCUUGGCAUAAGGAAUAAAGAACCCUUGUGGGUUAUUUUCGAAAUAGCCACUUUUGGGAUAUUUUUGUAAUAGGCUAGUUUUUCAAAGGCAACUAAUAUAAAUAGGUUCCUUAGACAUUUCAUUAGUAUGUUUUUGAAUAUUUUCACAUGAUAUAUUUAUGAACUCCAUUUGGAGUGUCUUGGGGGCUUGGAAAAGCCGAUGUUUAACUUUGCUUAGAAAUGAUGGUUGUAAGGAGGAUCUAAUCCUCUUUGUGGUCACCAUAAUAAAUUGGUGUUUGAUUCUAAAAGUUUUAAGGAACUUAGAGUUUGAUAUAGUCAUUGGUUCUUACUUCUUUGUAGUUUCAUAUGUCAGUUUAUCUAUCUUUACUUUCUUGGAUCUUGCAGUUUUAGCUUCCUUAGGUAGAUUUCUACAUUUCGUAGCUAGAUCUGUAUCAUUUGAUAUCAAAGCCGAGCUUUAUUUCAUUAAUACAAAGUCAAUAUUGGGUUUGAUAUCUUGAAAAUCACAAAAAAAAGUGUUAAAGCUGAAAAUCCCACAAAAAAUAUUUUGUUCCCAUUUUUGCCCUUGGCCGAGACUUUGGUAUUUGAAUUUUUAUUUAUUUUGUGUGUUUCUAGUGUUAGAUCCUUGUUCCAUAACACUAAUAGAGUCCAGAUCUUGAAUUUAAGCUUAUUCCGGGUUGAUUUGAAUCAUCUACCAUUGUUGAGCAUGAAGUUGAUUUGAAUCAUCUACCAUUGUUGAGCAUGAAGUUAAAGAAACUUGAUAGGAGGAUGUCGAAAUUGGAAGGGUUUUUGUUAAGAUUUUGGUUUGAACGUGUCUUGAUUGUGUUUGGGAGCUCAAAAUGAUAGUGUUUGGGAGCUCAAAAUGAUCUUGAAUCUUGAAAUUUCAUUCAAAUCCAAGGUCAAUUGGCUAAGGUUCCAUAAUGUUCUUGCUGUUCUUCAUGUUCUUCAUAUGUUAUUGAAGAAGAACAUUCAAAAAGUAGUUAUUUGAUCCCGAAAGAGAGAAAAAAGAAGGUGUGGUACUUUUUUGUCCCAAAGAAUGUUCCAAUCAUAUUCAGUCUUCCAAAGGAAGAAAGAACAAAAGGCACGUAAAGGGAAUAUUCUUAAGGAAGAAGACAAAAGAAAGUACAAGGAGGGACCGCAAGAAAAUUCAAGCUCUCUUGAGUUUGAAUGAUCAAUUGAAAGGCUCCAAUUCUUGUAUUUUCAUCCAAAAGCCGUCUACCACACCUCCAACAGGAAGAAUAAAGAUUGAAACACAAUUUAAAAGCAAUUGACAAGUGAUCAAUAAUUCAAGAACCAACCUAAAUUGCUACUUGAGGCAGCCACGUCAUUCAACCCUUAGAAUAUCCUUAAUCUAUUGGAUUCUAAGUUUAUUUUCUUUAAUUCUUUGGUUUCUUUUUCUUCAUUCUAAUUCUAAUUAGCAACUAGUAAUCACCUACUUAGUUGUGAGUUAGUUUUGAAUCUAUUUCUUUCUUUGUCCUUUCUUUGUGUGCUUUUAUAGUUUUGAGUCAUUCUGACUUCUUUGUUUCAAGUCCGCAAGUAGAUUUUGUUUUCCUUGAGUUGAUCAAACAAGAAUCCACUCCGACCAAAAAGUAGAGAUUGACACUUUAUUAUCCAUCGGAGUGUAAGAAACUUUCAACAUUCAUCGCUCCAAUUAUGAGGAUCACAAAGGUGAGCUCAUACAAGUGUUGGUAAGAAGGUUUUACUACUAAUCUUGUUUGUUCAUUUUGUAGGUACAAGGUGAUAUAAGAGAACAUAUUGUAAUGAUCCGAGACUACUCCCUAGUCAUUACACGGUACUUAUGACCACAAGUGAUCCCAAGAUAACCCUUGUACUUGCAUAACUCAUGAGCAACUGAAAUAAAUACAUAAGUUUAAAACGAAAUAAGCGAAAGAUACAUAUUUAGUUGAACAUGUUCAAAACAAAAUAUUUAAAAUGAUUACAACUCUGCUUUAUACUUAACUCUACUGACUGUCUAUGAAGCCUCUACUAGUAUUGACUAUAGGUAAUUGGGACAUGACCCCCAGCUAUCUCGAAUCAAUACGACUGAAAAAAGAAAAAUACAAUACUACUCAAACUAUGACUAAAUACAAUACUACUCAAACUAUGACUGACCUGAAACCUUGAAUCUAAAGGAUUCAUCAUCUGCUAACUGAAAGCUGUAAACUAUAUGAUUAUGAUAUGAGUGCGACAUUCGGUACCUAUAUUAUUAGACAAUGUAGAACAUAGACGUAUAUGUGGAUCAGUACUUUUGGAAUGUACUGAGAAUGUAGCGGUGAAUACAUAAGUAAAACAAUAACUUAAUAUAUUCAUAUACUUUCAAAUAAUGCAUACUAUGUGUAAGUGACUCAAUUUGAUCUUGAAUUAAAUUGAAAGCCGAAAAUCGUGGAAAACAUGAAUAAUAAAGCAUAUGGAAUAAACUUUGUGAGCUACACACUUAUUUCUAAAAGCUGUACUUUUAUUCUGUUUUAGGACUUAGAGACUUUGGGAGGUUUUUCUAACCGGCAUAAACCAUAUGAGCUGUCAUGGAGUCCAAUGUCUUACACACAUUGGGGAGAGCUAUUCUUUCUUGCCAUCAAAAUAGAACUUCUUAUCUUAAGUGAUCACUAUUUUAGCCCAAUAUGGGCAAUCUUAAACCUAUGGUGGUGCAUAACUUUGGGGUAUGAGAACUUUGGAAUCAUACCCAACUCGGUGCUAAAUACUACUCCCAUUCUUAUGCUCAGACUUUAGGAAAUCCACCUUAAAAUAGCACAUGGUUGUAAUGAAAACCAAUUAUGCUUCUAUUUCUUUAAAUCUCAAACUAUAUGAACAAUGUGGAUUCCUUAUCUUAGCUUAGGAUCAAAAGAACAAUUUCUUUCUUAAAUCUUGGAAAAAAGUUUGUGAAAGAGGCUCAAAAUCAUAAUCUUGUUGAGAUAUCAAUACUUAAACUUCGGGCUUUAAAACUCAUGCUUUAAACUCAUGCAAAUUAUGGCAAAAUGUCAUGCUCAAUAAACUUCUUGAAAUACUUCAACAAUAUCAAAGUAAUGAAGUCAAACUCACAUUAUCAUGCUUAAGACUUAAUUGGAAAUCUGUAAAAUAAUAUCACAUACAUAAAGAUGUGAAAAUAGACAUGCAAAUCAACAUUUAAAUCACUUGUAACAUCAAAAUCUUCAAAUGAUGAUAAUUGGGUAUGAAACUUACAUUGAAAUCCAUGUAAAUUCAAUCUUAAAAACUAGUUUUGGGCACAUGGAUGGAAGAAUAUCCUUGUUCAUAACCCAACAUACCUUGAUUGAACGGAUUCUUGAAGAAAUCUUGAAAUUGAAGCUUAAAUCCUUGUGUUUUUAGAGUUAAAGCUUGAAUUAUUGUUCUUAGAAAGAGGGAGGGUUUUUACAUGAGUUGAUUUGAAGGAGAUGGGUAGAUAAUGCCCCUUUUUGAGUUAUAAAUCUUAUUUGGAUAGCUGGGGAUGAGGGAAAAGGACUAACUACCCCUUGGCCUCUUUUUUCCCACGUAAAUGACACUCGUGGUGUGACCCCCAACAAUGGGAAUGGACCUCGCGUCGUUCCUCCCAGAAGCUGGAAUGGAUUGCUUCGUGAGCUUAUUAUGAUAACUACUGACUCUCACGAAAAAGGUUAUAACUUUUUGCUCGGGUAUCAGAUUAAGGUGAAAGUGGUAUCAUUGGAAAGAUAAUUUGAUUUUAUACAAUUCGGUGUGUCUUAAUCUACCAAAUUAUUUAUUUAAAAAAAGUUAUACUCGUUCAAAUAUGACUCUUGUAGAAUCAAAUACUAUACUUUGAACGAAUCUAAGGUUCUUAGCUCAACUUGGCUCUAAGUGAUUUCUUUGAACAUUUUUCACCUCAAAAGCACUCCACACACUAGGAUAAUGAUCAUGAAACUUAUAUUCAUAUGGAAAUCAUUUGUAUUAGAGCUUAUACACAUAGGAACAAUAGUUAGAAUUCUAGCUCUAAAAUGGAGGGUGUUACAUUAUCUCCCCCUUGGAAUUAUUCGUCCGGACAGUAACUUAUUGAGACUUUAGAAUUAUGAAGUAAUGUAGACAAGACAUGUCUUAUAGCAAAGGAUAUAAUUGACUUGAAACAUUAAGAAUUUCAUCAUGAAACUAAUUUUCUGAACCGACUUGACUCUAUUGACUUAUAAGGGGUUGAUUCAUGCUGAGAGAUUAGAAUUCACUUGAAAUGCUCAUAAUUUGAUCUAACCUAUAGAAUCGUAUAGUGAUAACUGAUGCAACAAUAUUCCAAGAGUUAAUAAGGAUGGAAUAACAUACGUAACUUCUCAUUAGAAAUUUUUCUUCAAUGAAAUAUGCAUAGGAAUUAAAAGAAGAGAGCUUCAUGGCAUCGCCAAGUAUAUUAGGUAAUCCUGAAACAUGAGACAAUGAGACUAAGAUUGUAUAAUGGGUAUUACAUUGUAUGAGCUGAAAUACUUGGAAAACUAAGAUCAUUCACUGAACACUUAAGAACUGAAUUAUGACUAAAUAUUUGAAUUGUAGAUAUGAUGCAUGGACUGAACUGAAUUACCUCAUGGAAUAGACAUACGCAUAAAACUUCGUAUAGUGAGACUAGAUGGAAAGAUGGAAAUCCAUUAGAACUUGUCUGUCUGACUGCUAAACUAAUUUACUGGCUAUACGGACUAACUCAUGCUGAGAGCACACACUCAAUUAGAGCAUUUCUUCAACACUCUUUGCAAGAAGUUCUAAUAAUAUUUAGGGAAUAAGGAAUUGGGCAUGAUCUGAAUACGAUAUCUCGAUAAGGAAUGGAAACAUAGCUACAACUUUAUGCCAUAUAAUAAAGGACUAUAAAACAUAAGCUAGGAUAAAAUUAAUAAGCCUUAGGCUAUGCAACUUCUUACUUUCAAGCUUAGAAAUACUUUUCAAAUACUCCCUCAACUAUACUAUUUCCCUUAAAUACCAUACUCCUUUGAUUCAACUUAUAAUUCUCACAUGGGCAUUGAUAAAUCCCUCUACUAAAGUCUAGACUGAACUAAAUUCUCUCACUAUGAUCAAGCCUAACUCAAAAUCACAAGGUACAACAGCCACACCAUAAUACUAGUCUAAACCACAUGAUUCAACCUUCUAUGUCUCUUUUAGAGCUCACACCCUAAUCAUAACAUGCCUUACCACUUCAAUGACUAACUCAAAACUCUUACUAUAGAUUCACUUCACUAGCGUAUAUUGUAUUCAUCCACUUAAAUCCCAUCCUGACAUUCAAGCCUAUCUUUAUAACCACAUAUGAAGUUUAAGGCAAACACCCGUAAAGGCAUACUUCACAUAUUCUCUAAACCUCUAUCAAUAAAAACUCCCACACACUACCCCAAGAACAUACACACACAAUUUCAACUAACCAUGACAUCUAUCAAAGACUUGGCCUCAAUUUUACUUCACACUUAUAACCUUAGCUAAAAUGGGCAUACAAUGAUCUUUUGUGAACAAGAAAUAUUUACUCUCUCCUAUGUAAACAACUAUUCAUCAUCACUAUCUAGACAUAAGGAGUGGUCACUGAAAGGUUAGAAUAUGAGGACCUGAAGCAUGAACGAAUAAUAAGUACAACUGGAAACUUUACUGAGGCCUGAGGAAUAGAGUAUCAACAUCAUGGAUUCCCCAAGGAGAUAUAAACUGGGGGCAUACAUGACCUAAAUUAAAUUUCACUAGGAUCAUAAGUUUCUGAGAACUGAUCAUACUCUGAUGCAUGAGUUCAUACUUAUCAUAAGAUAUUCAACAUAAGACUAGAGUUCAUAGAUUCAUGAGGGAUAACUUGAAACAUAGAGUGAAGCUGUUACUUGCUUUCUAGAGAUGAGAAUGGACUUAAGUACACAUAAAGGUUAGAAGCAUUGUCCAUUGGCAUGGAUCUCUGAUGCAUAACAUGGAUUUGGUGUGAUAAUGACAUAAAUCCAAGGAAUACUCUCGAGUAAGUAGGUAUCACUAUCUCAUCAUAACUCUCAUUGACAUGUAUCACAAUCUAAUUUUCAAAACUUGAUUUGGUUUUGCACUCUACCAUCUCCCCCUUAGGUCAAAGCUAAUAUUCUAAGCUUAUGGGUCUACUCCAUAUCCUUGAAUCUGAGCCAAAUUUCUUUGCUCUAAUGGUCUACACAUAAAUGCUAAACUCACAUGACUAAAUUAUAUUUCAACUUACUGACUUCAUUCUUGAACAACCCCUUCAUAUACCAUCCUUAAGUUUCUAACUUCAAUAAUCGUCAUCAAAGACUUACAUCUUAUUUGCAAACAUAUCUACCUCACUAAACAUAUAAUCAUAGCCUACCAAGAUCACACUUUUAUACUUAUAUUUUUCCCAAAUCAUAAGAAUCAAAAUCAUACUUAAAAGACUCAACACCAGCUAUCCAAAACUCCUCAACUUAGCUAUUAAGAACACCAUAUACUAUAUAACUAACCUUCUUCCACUUAGAAACUCAAGGGUACUACAACCACACAUGACACUUAAUAACCUUAGAAAAUAAUGCAAACCCAUACCACCUUUGGCAUACCUCUACAUCAAACUUAACCUUAAAUCAAUAAACUUAAAUUCUUACAUGCACUGUUCAAGCAUACUAGAUUACCUCCAUAUAACUAGCAUCACUAACCAAGCAAUCAUUAUUUCCACCUUGAUAGUCAUUCACUAUUCCAACUUAGUGUCUAGUACUAGGCAUAAUUAACAACCCAACCUCACAUAAUAUUCUCCCUUAGAAGCUAUAAAAUAAAACAUCAAGAAAUACUAGUCUGCUAGAACUUCAUAACAAUAAUAAUCGAUCAUAAUUAUAUAAUAUAUCUUAUCAUAAUAUGUUAGAACUUCCUCCCUCUACACAUUAAGACUAUUUACCAAUUUAUACACCUAAAUUACUUUCAUGACUCUAUAUGUUUUAGCUAAUCUCCUUUUUGCAACCUCGCAGGAAGCCUAAAUUAAUAAUACUCAACCGCCAAAGACUUCAUUAAUAUCUUAUACCUUUCUAACACAAAAAAUAACAUCAAUAACUCCUUUUCUACUUCAAGCAAAUAACAGUUCACCCUAACUAAUAACUAAUUCUCUACCUUCCACUAAACUAACACACAAUGACAUAUUACCUAAGUACUAACUCGAUGAUAAGUAAAAGUUCAUCUAUGUACAUUCAGUCAAUUGAUAUCACCACUUUUCUUGUCACUGCACUUCUAACUAUAAGAAAGUUCUACUAUUUAUGGAUCAUAACACUCUAGGUCAUAAUAUCCCUUGAAUGCGAACACUAUUUAACAAUCUAGGUUCAUAUUGUCUCCUUUUAUGAGCAUUAUAUGUAUUGAAGAGUUAAUGAGGAAUCUGAAUACAUAUCUUACUCUGUCUUAACUAAAGGACUCAUGGGGAUGAGGAAAUAACUUUCAAAUCAAGGAAAACUUAUAACGCACUACCAAAAUUAUCACACACUGAUAGUAAAUCUGAGAGCAUCAUCUUGGGAGGAAUUGGAACUUACUAAUCAUGUUAUCUCAAGAAUAUAGCAUUGAUGGAGAAGUAUGGAUUAACACACGAAUCGAUAAAAGUUUUUGAAGGAACAACUUUACAACAUGAUCUAGAGAUGAAAGAAAGGAAACUUUUCUUAAAUGCCCUGUAGCCUCUCAAAGAAAAGUACAGACAUUUCCGUACCAUUCCGCAAGACUUUACUAGACACGACUUCAGAAAUACCCUAGGACACUUGAACCUUGUGCUCUUAUACCAAGUUUGUAAUGACCCAAGACUAUACCUUAUUCAUCACACGGUGCUUAUGACCACAAGUGAUCCCAAGCUAACCCUUGUACUAGCAUAAAUCAUGAGCAACUGAAAUAAAUACAUAAGUUUGAAACAAAAUUUAGCGGAAGAUAUAUCUUUAGUUGAACAUCUUCAAAACAAACUAUUUAAAAUAAUUACAACUCUGCUUUAUACAAACCCAAAACUAAAAUCCAAUAUAUUAACUCUACUAACUGUCUAUGAAGCCUCUACUAGUAUUGACUAUAGGUAGUCAGGACAUGACCCCCAGCUAUCCUAAAUUAAUAAGACUGAAUAAAUAAAAAUACAAUACUACUCAAACUAUGACCAACUCGAGCCCUUGAAUCAAAAGGACUCAUCACCUAUUAACUGGAAGCUAUAAACUAUUUGAUUAUAAUGUGAGUGCUACAACCGACACCUAUAUUAUGAGACAAUUUAGCACAAAGACAUAUAUAUGGAUCAGUACUUUUGGAAUGUACUGAGCAUGUAAGGGUGAAUGCAUAAGUAAAACAAUAACCUAUUAUAUUCAUAUACAUCCAAAUAAUGCAUGCUAAGUGUAAGUGACUCACCUUGAGCUUGAAUAAAAUUGAAAGCUGAAAAUCAUGGAAAGCAUGAAUAAUAAAGUAUACUGAAUCAACUUUGUGAGCCACACACUUAGUUCUAUAAGAUGUACUUUUAUUAUGUUUUAGGACUUAGAGACUUUGAGAGGUUCUUCUAACCGACAUAAACCAUGUGAGCCGUCAUAGAGUCCAACGUAUUACUCAUGUUGGGGAGAGUUAUUCUAUCCUUGCCAUCGGAAUAGAACUUCUUAUCUUAAUUGAUCACUAUCUUUGCCCACUAUGGACAAUCUUAAACCUAUAGUGGCAUGUAGUUCUGGGGUAUGAGACCUUUGGAAUCAUACCCAACUCGGUGCUAAAUACUAAUCUUAUUCUUAUGCUCAGACUUCAGGAAAUCCACCUUAAAAUAGUAUAGGGUUGUAAUGAAAACCAAUUAUGCUUCUCUUUCUUUAAAUCUAAAACUAUAUGAACAAUAUGGAUUCCUUAUCUUUGCUUAGGAUCAAAAGAUCAAUUUCUUUCUUAAAUCUUGGUAAACAGUUUGUGAAAGAGGCUAAAAAUCAUAAUCUUAUUGAGAUAUCAAUAGUUAAACUUAGGGAUUUAAAACCCAUGCUUUAAACUCAUGCAAAUUCAUAGCAAAAUAUCAUGCUCAAUAAACUUCUUGAAAUACUUCAACAAUAUUAAAGUAAUGAAGUCAAACUCAUAUUAUCAUGCUUAAGACUCAAUUAGAAAUAUACAAAAUCAUAUCACACGCAUAAGGAUGUGAAAACAGACAUGUAAUUCAACACUUAAAUCACUUGUAACAUCAAAAUCUUCAAAUAAUGAUAAUUGGGUAUGAACCCUAAAUUGAAAUUCAUGUAAAAUCAAUCUUAAAACUAGUUUUAGGAACAAGGCUAAAAGAAUAUCCUUGUUCAUAACUCCACAUACCUUAAUUGAACGGAUUCUUUUAGAAAUCUUGAAAUUGAAACUUGAAUCCUUGUGUUUUUUUACUGCAAAAGCUUGAAUUAUUGUUCUUGGAAAGAGGGAGGGUUUUUACGUGAGUUAAUUUGAAGAAGAUAGGAAAAUAAUGCCUCCUUUUAAGUUAUAAAUCAUGUUUGGAUGGCUGGAGAUGAAUGAAAAUGACUAAACUACCCCUUUUCCUUUUUUACUCAUGUAAAUAACACUCGCGGUGUGACCCCAAGAAAUGGUAAUGGACCUGGUGUCGCACCUCCCAGAAAUGGGAAUGGAUCUCACAUCGUGAGCCUAUGCGACUGCUUACUGCCUCUAACAAAAAAGGUCAUAACUUUUUGCUCGGGUAUUAGAUUAAGGCAAAAUUAGUAUCGUUGGAAUGAUAAUUCAAUUCUCUACAAUUUUGUGUGUCUUAAUCUUCCCAACUCCUUAUAUAUAAAAAGUUAGACUCGUUCUAGGAUGACCCUUGUAGAUUCGAAUACUAAACUUUGGACUAAUCUAAGGUUCUUAGCUCAACUUGGCUCUUAGUGAUUUCUUUGAACAUUUUUCACCUCAAUAUCACUCCACACACUAGGAUAAUGAUCAUGAAACUUAUAUUCAUAUGGGAAUCAUUUGUAUUAGAGUUUGUACAAGCAGAAAUGAUAGUUAGAGUUCUUGCUCAAAAAUAAAGGGUGUUACACAUAUCUACGAUAGCCUCGGAUAAUUUAGACUAUGACAUAAGAGACUAUGAUUGUAGUAAAGAAUGUUAUGUAUAUGAUGAUGAUGGAGAUUAUAGGGGAUAUGAAUAUAGCCAUAAUCAAGAUAUGGAUGAGAAUGAAGGUUACUAUUUCCAUAGAGAAUGUGGAUGAAUGAAGUGCCUAGUUCUUAUAGUGAGUACGAGGAUGGUGAAGAGCCUUGGAAGGGUUCUUAUAAAGAAGAUAGGGCAAGUGAGGAGUUUCCUACUCCAAUUAUCAAGGCAAUGCCAAGUAUAGCAUUCUCUUCCCUAUAGCUUCUAAGAGUUAUGAUGAAAGUGCUCGUAUGGAGUAUGAAGAUUCAUAUUCCUCACCAUGUAGUACUUUUUAUAAAAGUCAAAUUGGAGUGAAUGGUUAUACUAGAUAUAGUGGAGCUUUUUCCAUGAGAAGACACGAUCAUGCAUCUCCAAGGUCUAAGACCACUACACCUCAAGCUUCUUAUUCUAGUUCCCAAACUUUUGGAGGGUAUAGUAGGAGUUAUGACCUACCUAUUCUACCCAUUUUUAUAAAGUAAUCAGGUCUUAAAGAGCAUCUUUAUUGGAAAUAGAAGUGUGAAAGGAUCUUCAAAAAUUAUGAUAUGAAUGAAUUUAAAAAGGCUAUGUGUGCCCUUAAACAUAUCCGAGGUACAACAUCGAUUUAGUGGGAUGCCAAAAGAAUGUUCGACAAAAAUAAAGUGCCUUGAAAGAACACAUGAGAGGUACCCAUGUACCAUGAGGUAUCUGAAGCUUUACAAUAUUGAUCCACGAAGAAACGUUCACUCCUGAAAGGUAAUUAUUUGUGGAGUUUUGGGAUAUCUCCUUAUGCUAGAUAAUUGGUUCUAUAUAAACUACAUUAUUCCACCUAUGGUUGAUCAUUUAGGGCUAUAUCAAGAACUUCUACUUGUUACAUAUUUCUUGGAUAGGUAUAAGGUUACCGAGAGAGUGAAGGUUUUCUUCACCCGAUUUGAAUACUAUGAGGAGGUGUGGUGUGACAUCUUUCCCUUAUAACAAGGUCAUUUAUGCUUGGGUGUUGAUUGGUUUGCAUAAAAUAGAGUUCCAAAUAUGCAAAAUUGGCCUAAGAUUGUAAUGGAACAUUGGGGAAAUCAUCUCUUUCCACCCAUUCUUCCAUAAUCUCAAAGAGGUGUGACCACUUACUCCAAGCCAAAAGAAAUUAAGAGACAAAAUAUUGAGAGGAGUAAGGAUUUGGAAGGUGGAAAUACAAGAAUGGAAAAAGAAGAGGUUGUGAGGAGUGAAGUGAGGUGGUUGCCACCAAACCGAGCUAACAUUGUUUGUCCUUCUAUUUCUAAGGACGUUUGUGUAGGUACCAACAUGGCAAACAGAGGAGGACAAGUACAAAAAGAGAAGAUUCCCUUUGAAGAUUUGAUGAGGGUAACUUAGAUGAUUCCAAAGCUUGUGGAGGACCUUCACAUCAAGGUAAAGAUGAAUGUGCUCAAGAACUUCAAGGUAAAAUAGCUAUCUCAUACAUUUUUAUGCAUGUGAAUGAUGAUUGUAUGGCUAGUAUCCCAAUGUGUGUGAGUAGUAGUUUACCUACUUAUGAGUUUAUCAAUUAUUUUUCUCUUAUUAAUAAUGUACAUAUUGUGAGUAUUGAUACACUAGUUGAUCCUAUUGAUGAACAAAUUGACUCUUCUUGUAAGAUUAAUUUGUGUCCUCCUAGUGUUGAAUCCAUUAUGAAUAUAGAUACACUAGUUGAUCCAAUUGAUGACCAAAUUGACUCUUCUUGUAAGAUAGAUUUGUCCACCUAGUGUUGAAGCCAUUGCGUUGAAUGAUAGUACAUCAUUUUUGGAAAUUGUGUUGAUCAACUUAUAUACGAAACUAGUCCACCACUUAAGGAUGUGUGUGUUGUAAUUAAUGGUCCUAAAUUAAGUGAAGAACUUGAAAGUGUUGGUCAAGAAGAUAGGAGUGACCCCUUGAGCAUGUUUUCUAAAGAAGAUCCUAUGGAUUUUCUUGCUCAUAGGGAUGAUUAUGUGUUUGAAACUUCUUUGGAACUUGAUGGUUGCCUUUGAGAGAGUGAACUUGUGUUAUGACCCGAGACUACCCCUUAGUCGUAACAUGGUGCUUGGAACCACAAGUGAUUCCAAGCUAACCUACAAACUAGCAUACUGUUAAGUAACUAAUUUAUAAUCUAUUAAAUAACUGGUUCUGCUGUGCAUAUAAUCAUAAAAAAAUUUGGGAAGAAUUAUAAUACUGAUACAAUUUAUAAUCUGAUAAAACAGAAGAGAGAAUAGAAAUUACAUGACUAACUCUGACUGACAUCUAUAAAGCCUCUAUGAUACUGACUAUAUAUAGCUAGGACAUGCCUCCAACUACCACUAAUCAAUACAUAUGAAGAAUAAAAAUAAGGUACAUGAAUAAUAUCCCAAAAUAAGAGAAUUCAUCACCUGCUGGCUGGAAAUUGCAACUAUAUGAUCAUGAUAUAUGGACUACAACUGGUACCUACAUUAUGAAACAAUGUACCCACACAUACAUAUAUAUAUGGAUCAAUAUUUCUGGAAUGUACAGAGUAAGAGGGGGUGAAUUUAAUAAGUAAAACUAAUUUUAUAUGUAAUCUUAAAACAUGCAUGCUAUGUGUAGGUAGACUCACCAAGAGACUGAAAUAAAUUGAAAUUCGAAAUAAAUUAAAUCAUGAGUAACAAACAUAGUCUGAUAAGAUGGUGAAUCACUACACUUAGUUUCUUAAAACCUUACUUUUGUAAAAUAAGUAGAACUAAAGCUGGGAUACAGUAAAGCACGAAUACAUGAACAUAUAAAACCAAACAUACAUGUACUGAGCUGAUCUGAUUAACUAAAUAACUGAUGCUUGAGUGCCGAAAAGAUCUAAAUCUAAGAAAAGGGAUAACUAGCGGCAUAUACUAAGUAGCUGAUUGAUGAACACAUACUACUAAUUUCAAACACUAAAUAGCUAAUGACUGAAUACUAAUCAUGUAAUCCUGAACUGUACUUAAUCUGAAUAACUGGACUGAAACUAUGGGGUAUUGUGCAUAUGAGAUAAGGACUAACUGAACAAUAUGAGAUAACUGAGAAUAGAUGCAUGAAAGCUGUAAAAUCUGAGAAUGUAUGACCAAGCAGAUAAUGUUUCCAAAAUAAUUUGUAAAACUAAAAUACUGAAGUCUGAUUAAUGAAUAACUGAGAAUCUAUAUGAUUUGAUCAAGCAAACCUGAACUGAAACCACACUGAGUACUGUACUAAUACUAUGGGCGAUAUCAUCUAACUGACAUGCCCAAAUCUGAGCUAAUUGUGGUCUAACUUGUAACCCAGUUAGAAGGGUGUCAGUACCAUGCCACGGGUACUAAAAAUGGCUAUGUGGAUCCGCUAAACUAAUGUCCUGAAGGACUAAUGAGUUACCUUCAAUUGGAAGGUGCUCUAAUGAGAUAUGUAUUACCCUCAACUGGCAGGUAAACACUUUAUUAACCCUCAACUGGUAGGUUGAUAUUCUAACCUAUCGCUAGCUAUGUAGUUCUUGAACUCAGAGACUACUUCUAAAGGUCACACCCUCUACAGACAGGUGAGCCCCCAUCCCUAGAUUUGCUCGGUGCUAAAUCCUACUCUCAACUAAAAGACACGAAAAUACUAACUGGUGCAUGCACUAAUAAUUGAUAAUCUCAGAUCAUGGUAUUUUGAAAGUAAUAGUGCAUACAAAUUCUGAGGUAAUUAUUAACAUAUAAACUGAUAAUACUUAUCAUGAAUAAGAAUAGCUAAGUGUACCGGUAAGAUUCAUGGAUUAACUGUCUGAAUACUUGAAUAGUCGAAUUAAUGUAAAUCAUAUAGGUAUCAGGUGUUCAUAACCCAGUAGCAUUGAAUGACUACAACAAUAAGGACAUAUACAAGCUUUGAAAACCAUAAUAGGGAAUCAUCAUUCAAAAUCCAACAUUUAGACAUUUCAUCAAACACAUGGGAGUAAUGAACUUGAAUAUGGGAAUAUGGUCUACAUGUUAAAGCAAAAUAAGAACAUGACUGAAUUCAUAAGUUGGGGAUUUAACAUGAAGCCAAUGGAAUAGGACAUGGAAACUUGCAACUCAAAGUAUGAAUAGAUAAAUUCACUUAAAAACACUUGUAGCUAUGGCAAAGUUUAUAAUUCAAUAUUAUAACAUGAAAUUUAUUUGGAAACAUCAUGGGAAUCAGAACAUCAAGCAUGAGAUAACCAAACUUUUCAUGAAAACAUCCUUGGAUAUGAAUUUAGUCAAAUUACUAAGGAAAUCAUGAUUUAAAUUUAUCUUAAACAUAUGAUACUUUUUCAACAAAAGGGAAAGUUCAUAUAUUUAAUUAAAGAAAAACUUUUUGGGCUCCAUGGGUGAAAAAGGACCCACGGAUGAACUCCCACAUACCUUGAACCCUUAAGCUUAAAAAGGAAACAACAAUCUUGAUGCUUUUUUGAAGGUUCUUGAACUUGGGGAACUUGAAUUCUUGGUUUCCUUAGAGAGAAAAUAAUUGAAUUGCUGAUCUUGGGGGAUGAGUAGGGUUUUCUUGAGAGGAAAGUUGGAGAAGAUGGGUAAUAAUGCCCUAACUGGUGCCCAAAUUGUGUUAUGAAUGAUUGGGUUGAGGUGGAAAAAGACCCAAUUACCCCUCAAUCAUUUAAACCAAAAAUUUGUAACUAGAAUGUGGAUUAAAAGCUCACGCGAUGUGUCUUAUUGCGGUGGCUUACUGGUUCUAAUAAAAAUGAUCAUAACUUUUCGCUUGAGUGUAGGAUUCAGGCGAAAUUGGUAUCAUUGAAAAGAUAAUUAAAUUUUAAUUUGAUGGGUCUUGAGCUAAAAAUUCACGUUUAUUAAAAGUUAUACACAUUCAAAGUUGACCCUUGUAAAAUCGAAUACCAACUUCUGACGAAUCAAAGAUGCUUAGCUCAACUUUGUUCUAAGUGAUUUCUGUGAACAUUUUUUACCUCAUAAGAACUUCAUACACUAGACUAAAGAUUAUGACACAUGCAUUUAAAUUAUAAAUGAAGAACUGGACGAAAACACCUUCACCACGACGUGAUAUGCAUGCCAAAGAAAAUGUCACCGUGAUGCAUCCCUAUCGCAUUGACUUGCUAUAUUCGUGAUCCAAACGUGACCCAAACCUUGUCUAAAUAAUCCAAUUCCCCCGAGACAUACUUCUUACAUCCCUAAACUUGAAUUAACUUAAAACUAAUGUCUCGGGGUCGGGAUGACAAAAAUGAAAAUCCUCAAAGUUUAGGGUUCUUGAAAAUGACUAACUCUCCGACACUUAGUGAAAAUUGUAGGCCUUAAGCCCCUUAUGUAUGCAAAUUAUAGCUUAAUUGAGCUAACAAUAGUAACGGGUAUUACUACUUGCAUGUUUUAAAUCUGCCCUGGGUAUAGAUCUUUCUCUCUUUAGGUAUAAUAUCUUAUUCAAAGAUAGUACAAUUACUCCUAAUGAACCUAGAGGUGAUAAUCAUGUUGAAGAUAUAGAUUUUAUUUAAGGUUCUAGUCUAUAUGCCAACUUACUAUGAUGUGUCAACAUUUCUCCUAAAGAUGGAAAUCUCUUCUUGGAAGAUGAAAGUACUCAUAAGGGAAAUGAAUGUGAGAUCUUGGAAAGGGAAAAUCAAUAGGGUGAUGAUAACUUUGAUUUUCUUGAAUGUUUAAGAAACCCAAUAAAUGAUUACUCCUUUGAAAAUAAUUGUGGUUGUGAUCCUUUGUAUGACAUCCCACCCUUGUUUAUUACCUAUAAGGAUGAAUUAUUUGCUUCUUGUGAAGGCUUAAGUAAUAAACCCUUUGAUGUUGGUGGUGGUAUGUGUCUACUUGAGGAUGCUUCCAUAGAAAGAAAAAGUGUCCAUUGUUGGGAAAUUGCUUACCUUUCUACUUUGUUUGACCUUAUUAUUGAGAGUACUCAUAGUGAUGAUUUAGAAACUAGUAGUGAGUACAUACAUAAGGAUACCUUAGUUGAAGUUGACUUGAGUGAUACCUUUCUCUACUCUCUAUUUGCUUUUGAUAAUAUACAUGCUAUUGUAGAGAGUACGCCAUUUAGUUUGGGUAGAGACCAUGGGAAAGGGGAGUGUUGUCUAGACCCAUGUCUAUGGCCACUCUUCCCGUUUGACCCCGAUGCCAAAUAUAGAUUUUAUGAUGAUGGCGCACCCAACUUGUUGCUUGGUUUACAUGAAAACUUAUCACACCCAACUUAUUGCUUGGUCUACAUAACAAGAAAAGUUUGAAUAAAGAUGUUGGUAUCCUUACCUAUAAUGGGAAUUCACAAUCCACUUGAGGGACCAACAUUGUGCAAGGGAAAGAACUCCAACCAAGAUGAAAGGUCUUUAAAGAAAGGGAGCCAUGAACAGCUCCAAGAGUGUUCACCAUUGUGUGUUUCCAUCCUUGACCAAGGUUUUACCACUUAUAUGUCAAGAAGAGAAUAUUUUUCUUGAAAAUACUUUGGAUAAACUCCAUUUGUGUGAUACCUUUCAUCGAUAUGUGUGUAGAGAUGAUGACCUCCAUAUCAAAGGUGUUAUUAUUUUUGAAAACUCAAGGGUAAAAGUGUCCUUGUCUCCUCAGGGUAAUGCUUCUAAAUGUGAAUCCUUGCUUGACACACUUGUGCUCAAGUUAAGUGAAUCCCAACUUGUAGAUGCCAAGUUGUCUAUUUGUUUGAAAGGAAGAAUUUGUAUGUGCUUAAAUAUUUUUAUUUCAUCCUUGUGUACAUUACGUCCUGAUUCUUUUGAGACAAAUGGCAUUCUCAUAGAUAAUAGCACCUUGGAUGAAGUCUUUACAGUUGAUUUCUUCGUAUACUACCUAUUUGCUUAUGAUAACAUCUGUGAUAGUUUUGGAUUUUCCCUAUUUGGAGGUAGAAUAUUUGUUGGUUGGUCUACUUGUUUGAGUAACGUUGCUAUAUGUUUUUUGUGGACUUUAAUUCCAAUUAAGGAACCACUCUUGAUGUGGUCUUUUAAAGAGGUGAUGAAUCAAUUGUGUCUUAUGGCUCCUAAGGAAAAAGAAAUUUUACCUUGUGUAUAUAGUGAUGCCAUUAUGACCAUUGUGGUUUCCUUAUCUCUUGGUGAUUUCUAUAUCCAACUCCUUCGUGCAUUCUUCAAUAGAGUUCUAAUGUUUAACACAAAGUAUCCUUGGUUAUAUUUCAAAUAUUUAUAACCUUGCCAUGAUAAAAUAAUUGUUUAUGCUAAUCCUAAUCCUCAUGCCAUGAGGAAGUUGUGUUCGCUUUUCCUUCCUUUGAUUUUGCAAGGUAUGGGAGGAUGAUACGAUCCAAAUGGCCAACAUAGCUUUUUAUGCCAUCAUUCGAGGCCAACACAUGAAGAAUCAAAUCGUGGUCACCUCGAGGACAUAAGAACAUAAUAGAGGACCCAUUUUGAUCACUCAAUAGAGCAAUUCCAUGUAUAAAAGGUUCUUGGGUCUUGAAAUGCAUUUUUGAAAAGCCUUGGCACAAGGAAUAAAGAGCCCUUAGGGGUUAUUUCCGAAAUAGACUCUUUUGGUCUAUUUUUGUAAUAGGAUAGUUUUGCAAAGGAAACUAAUAUAAAUAGGUGCAUUAGACAUUUUAUUAGUUAGAUUUUGAAGAUUAUUCACAUGAUGUAUUCAUGAACUCCAUUUGGGAGUGUUUUGAGGGAUUGGAAAAGCCGAUGUUGAACUUUGCUUAGAAAUGAUGGUUGUAAGGCAUAUCUAAUCCCCUUUGUGGUUACCAUAAAAACUUGGUGUUCGAUUCUACGAGUUUUAUGGGUCUUCGAGUUUGAUACACUUAUUGGUUCUUACUUCUUUGUAGUUUCUUAUGUCAAAUUAUUUAUAUUUACUUUCUUGCAUCUUGGGGUUUUAUCUUCCUUAGGUAGAUUUCUAUCUUUCGUAGUUAGUUCUGUAUUAACAUGUGAUUCUGUUAUUGUUGUAAAACAAGAGGAUACCAACUCUUUAUGCACUCUCCCACAAGAAGUGUGUUUCAUUAGAUUCUUCUAAUUCAAAAAGUUUAAAAGCAAGUGUCAAGGAUUGAUCUUUUACCACAUAAACAUCGCCGUGAGAAAUAUGAAGAAAUUGACAUCAUGUAAUUCACUAAUGUUCUGAUUUAGAAGAUGAGCAAUCAGGUAAUCUCAACAAGAUUAAACUUAUUCUAUGACAAUUUAGGCUAAAUUCUUAUAAUAGAUUCAUCUAGGAUUUGCAGCUUUAUAGUCCUCGACUUAAUAAAUCACCAUUGGAUUAUUGAAAAUACAUGUCGAUGAUGAUAACUUUAGGUUCAUCUACAUAUGUAGUUUAUUGUGUUGUGAUUCAUUAUUUUGUACUUGAAAAUAUCUGCAGGUUAACCAAGUUUCUUUUACAUGUUUUGGCUUUCAUGAAACAAAGGUAAUCAUAGUCUAAACUUAUUUAUCCUUUUCCUCUCAAAGGUUCCACUAAUUUCUUUUCAAAUAGUUUUAGCUCAUUAGGUAACUAUUGUUAUUGAACUUCUACAAGAAUCUAUUCUAAUUGGACUAUUAGUUUAGCUGUUCGAUUGGAUUAGCUUUAAAUUUGCAGAUUAAUUAGUUGGCAUAGCUAUAUUUGAUAUCGAAGCCAGAAAUGGAUCCUUUAAUGAAAGUUUAGAGACAAGUAUUUGGUAGUGUGGGUAUAUGUUAAGUUUUCAAUAUAUAAUUACCAUAUUGGUUGCAUAAAUUAACUAUGUGAAUGAAGAAGCCUUCCAAUAACAGAAGGCUAGCAUUGUCUCUCAUUUACUUCAAUAUUUAUUAAUCGUAGAUUUAUCUUACUAUGCACUAUGUUUCGAGUCUAAUGCUUGUUUUUUUUCUUCCUUUAGAGAUAUCUAGAUAAAGUAUGUAAUGUCAACUACACUUAAAAUUCAGAUUUUAUCCAGUUGUGUUUUGCAUGAACCGACUUGACAAUUAUAACAACUAUAAAAGUCAUUUUUGCUUUUUGCAGGCUAUAGAAAAGAUGACAGAAAGGCCAAAUAUACAUGCAGUCGCCCCUCAAACACCUAACUGGAUAUGUAAAAUGCAAGUUGUAGAUAUCUAUAGACCAGGAGAAGGUACAAAACACAAUAUAAAGUAUAUGAACAUAUCUUCAAGAUGAACAGGUAGCUACUUAUUUUCAAAAUCAAAUUAGCUAUUUACAUUCCUUACUUCUGCCUCUUAUAAUACUAUUCAUAAAAUUACCUUCAGGACAAUCAAGUUAAAGUAAUUGUUUAUGGUGAUGAUAUCUCCCCUUAUCAAGAUGUAUGCCAAUUGUUUCGCACAUAUUUGAUAAUAGGUGCAUACGUACAAUAACAAACUCUGAGAUACGAAACACUGCUGCAUACAUUUGAAUAGAUUAUUGAUAAAAAAACUAUAGUGGAUCCAAUUGAUAAAGAUGACUUGGAUUAAAAUGAGUUACCACCACCCCUAAUGAUCAAUGUCACAUCAUUUUAUGAUAUCAACAACCAAGCCUCCUGACCUGUAAGAGAAUGACUUAGGAAGGCACAAUACAAUAUGAUUCUUUCAUUCUUUUUGUCAUUAAAUAUUUGCUUCAACACAAACAAACAUAUACCUUUUUCCCAAUAGAUGUGUUAGCAAUAGUUGUUAACUGCUUUCCUCUAAGAUGUGUUUGCAACAUACGAAAAAGAUUAUAGGAACUCCUCCUUACUGAUACCAAGUAAGAAUAUUUGCCAAAUUUACCACUACCAUUUUACUUACUUUAUGAGAAAAAAAUUACAGAACAUAUUAUUUACUAUAGUAUACACAACAAGCAAGCUUACACAUUCACAUUAUGGGAAGAAGCUCUCAUUGAAGAAAAAGGCAAGAAACUCAUUGCACAAUUUCAACAACAUCCAAUUAUCUGUAUCAGGUGUAUUGGAGUAUCCAUGUACAAUGGUAAACUAAACAGUAUACCAUAAUUAAUUUACUUAUAUCACCUUCUACUUUUUUCCAUAACAUCAUUUUUAUUAUUAUAAUUAUUAUAGGUAUAUCGUUGACCACAAAAUUUAACACAACAAUACAGAUUGAUCCACCUUAUUUAGAAUGACUUCAAAUGUAGUCAUGGUAACAACUUUACUUACUUUGUACUAAUUUGUACACUAUUAUUGAUAUGCUAAAAUUCAUCAAAUACCGACUCAAAUAGGGUUGCAAAAACUGAUCAAAUGCUCAACUCUUUUGCUGCAAGAAGCACAUCCCAAUGUGGAUCUCUGGUCUUCGCUCCUGUAGAUGAAGAGAUAGUGUCAAUUGCUUCCAUUCAGUCACAACAAGAUGUUAGUACCAUCUUUAUUAACCUUAUUCACAACUUAUGCUAAAAUUUAUACUACUCAUAGUAAAUAAUACCUUCUCCAUAGGGACGUGCCUUCACAAUCUAAGCGCAAAUAAUUCUGCCAACUAGACUCAAAUAUUUAUGUUUUAGUUGGUCCAAACUAUCCAUAAGAUGUAAGAAAUAAAGUGAUAAGAAAAUUCCAAUAUAUGGAUUGUCAUCCACAAAAUAUAUUGAUUCCCAAGUACUUUGGUGCUAAUAUUAUACACACAUACACCCAUAAUAUCAGUAAAAUAUUUAUUUUUAUUAACUAAAGUACUAACAUAAAUAAUUGUAGGUGCCGAUUCGAUGUCAAUCUUAAAGAUGGCAUUAGCUUAAUAAUUGGAAUUAUUAGCGGAAAAGGAGAAAAAUUAUUGUCUCUUACAACAGAAUAGAUUUACGAGCUUGCUACAAAUAAGGUAAAAAAUUUAACCAACCAACAUACACAUCAACUUAAUUAUUCAACAAACAUAAAAAGUAAAUAUAGUUUUCCAUAGAAUGAGUUCCAGUCAAUGCAAAAUAAUAAAAUCAGACUGAAUUAUAAUCUAUUCAAAAUUUAAGUAAAAAAGUACCUUUAUGCACUGAUCAUACAAUCUAUGGGAAAGUCUAUAUUCUAGCCUGUACUGAAAAAGGAGAUAUCAUACCCUUUCUUCCUGCACCAUCAACAUCUCAGAUCAAAGAAGGAAGUAAGAAGCAAAAAAGGAUUCUACUUCUGCUGCUGAACAAGCCAAAAAAUAAAAUGAACGCUGGAACAUACUCAAGAUGAAAUAGAAAAUGGAGCCAUCAACUCCAAUGAAAACAAAAUAAAUGUUGCUAAGAAACUUCUUUCAUAUUCUUUAUCUUAAUAUUUAUAAUGUUUUCAAUAUAAUUGCUAUAAUAUUUUCUCACUACCUAUAUUACACCCUCUAUCAUUCCUGUUAAAUACAUUUGCAGGUUGAUUAAUUUUUCUUUUGCAGUUGUAAGACCCCACAAUUCCUAGCUUAAUUCAGUCUUUUAAGCUUGUUAAGGGGUCCCAGACUUAGAAAAUUCUAGCUAAGUAUUCAGACUUAGUUUAUUUUAGGCCUUCAAAAGUUGGCAAUCUCAUUUUGCAGCCUUAAAGUCCUUUAAAUGUCUAUAUUUUAGUUAAUUCAUGAUCAGGAAGGUCAAUAGGUGUUCCCGAACAAGUUUUAAAUUUUUUGGACUUCGUUUGAAGAUCGUUUGGAAUCCCAAAAGAGUGUACCAACGCGAUCUUGGUGCGCCGCGUGGCCUAUCGCAUUGGUUUAUAUUUUCCCAAGCUACCAGCAUCAAAUUUCAGUGAGUCAGUGUGAUCUUGGCGUGACGCAUUAGAUAUCACAUCGGUGCCAUCGAUGCGCAGCGUAGGUAAUCCAGUUUUCACUCAUUAAAACACCACAUUCUUGGGGGGUAUUUGGGUCCUUUUUUCCCGACUCUCAACCCCCAAAACAUGAAAUUUAAUACCCUAGGAAGCAAAUAAACCUAUUUUUUCUCAAUUUCUCUCAAGAACAAGCCUUAGAAUUUUUAAAUUUCAAAUCAAGAACUCAAGAUUUCACCAUUAAUUUCUAAAAAUUCUUGAACAAGGUAUGUAAAGUGUUCAUCCAAGGGUCCCUUCUACCCUUGGAGUUCAAGAAACUUCUUUUAAAAAUAUGAAUUAUGAUUUCCAUAUUGUGGGUUUAAAUGUAAUCAUGUUGAUGUUUGAAAUGUGUUCCAAGUUGAAAUCUUUAUGUGUUUCUUGAUAUUAUGAUAGCAUGUAAGUUGAAUUUUGAUUCUCUUAUAUUGAAGCCCUUGAAUUAUGAAGUCAUGAUGUAUUAGCAUUUUUGUUCAUGCCCAAGUAUAAAGCUAUACCUUGUAUGUGUUUGAUGGAAUGCUCAUGAGAUUGGUUUAAUGAAAUUAUGAUGUGUUAGUAUGCAUUCCUAUUCAUGUGCAAGUUCAUGACUUUCAAGUAAUUGGUGAAAUGCCUCAUAGAUCGUAUUGUGAGUUGUUGACUAUUGUCAAGAAUUCAAGAAUUGUCAUGUCUUAUUAUUUUUAUGCUAUUGAGUCCUGGGGGUAUUUAAUACCCAAUAAUUUAGCCGUGUGCCUAGAGCUAGUGUCAGUUAUAGAAUAAUCUCAAUCAUGUCACAAUUGGUAGCACUCUAGCUCAGUUACCAAACUCAGGAAAACUUAGUAAAAUCAUUAUCAAUCUAGUCUCAUUCAGUAUUCAGUUCAGUCCUCAGUUAACUCACUCAGAUAACAGAACUCAGUAGUAUUCUGUCAGUCAAUAGAACUUAGUAAACUCAGUUCAGUUCAGUUAAUCAGUACAAUCAGUAACAGAUUAGUUCAGCCUAGUAUGAACUAGGAAAUUAGUUCAGUGUCUAUUUAGUUAGGAGUAGGAUUCAGUACCAAGUGAACCCAAGAAUGGGGACUCACCUCCCAGCAGAGGGUGUGAUCCUUAGAAGCAGUCCUUGCAUUCCAAAACUAUGUAGCCAGUGUAGGUUGAGACAUUAAAACCUACUAGUUGAGGUUUGAUGAGGUAGCUUAACCUAUCAGUUAAGGGUCCCACCAUUCUCAUCAGAGUAUCUGAUAGAUGAGGGUAACUCUCAGCUUGUCCUUACUUGUGGCACUGUACUGACACCCUUCUAAUAGAGGUUAUAGGUUAGACCCUGAAACUAUUCAAAAAAGGGGUAUGUCGGUUAGAUGAUUACCUCCCAUGAUCUCAGUCUCAGUCUUUAUUAAAGAACUCAGAUAGUUCUAUAGAUUUCAGGACUGUCAGAUACAGUCACUCAGCUCAGUACGAAACUUAGUUAGUUCUAUCAUAAAUAGGACUGUCAGACACAGUCAUUCAGUAAACAGUAUAUCAGUUAUUAGUUGUAUCAGUUAUCAGUAGUCCAUGUUAUCAGUAAACUCAGUAUUCAGAAUUUUUAUGACUUCAAUUACAGUUAUGUAUUCAUGCAUAUAUUCUCACGCAGUCAUGUUUAUGUUAUUUAGUCAGUUAUAGUUCAUGCAUAUGAACCCUUGCAUUCAGCCUUACCUCACUUUGCGUACCAGUACAUUCAUACUACUGACAUAUACUUUUCUUUGUGCUAUGGUGUUUUAUAUCAUAGGUUCAGACGUACGCCCCNNNNNNNNNNNNNNNNNUUCAACCAGCAACAGCAGACUAGUAGUGAGUCCUCAUCAUUUGAGGAUAUUCUUUUAUUUUAUUAUCUCAUUAGAUUCAGCAUUUCAGUAGAUGGAGUUAGUUUAGGGAUUGUCCUAUCAACUCCUUAUUCAGAAAAUUCAGUUUAGAGAAUUUUCAGACUAGAUGUUCAAACAGUAUUCAGUAUUUCAGAUGCUGAUGUUUUAUCAGACUUUAUUAUUUUCUUUUCAUCAGUAUUACAGUUUUGAACCUUAUGGUAUUUCAUCCUAUUAUUUCACAUUAUACCAUAUUAUUAUUCAGUUAUUGCAGUAAGUAUCAAUCAUGGAUUAGCAUGUGGUCCUUUGGGAUUAUGAGCACCAUGUAGCAUCUGGUGUAUAGACUCAGGGUGUUACAGUAGUUACUCUUAGAUUUUGUAGAACAAAGGUAUACUUAAAUUUCUUAUUAAUAGAGUAGUAAAAUUUAUAUAUGGUACAAUCAUCUAAUUUUUUUUUGAUUAUCAGGUGGCUCUUAUCCUUUUACAAAUGAAAUAUUAUUCUUUCUUUUUUAUACUACUGUGAAGACUUUUGGUGAAAAGAACUAUCAACUUAUUACCUCCAUCAUGUAUCCAACAGCCCAAUAGGUCAGUUGUCUCCUUAGUAUACAUUCUAACAUAUCUCAUUCUUUAAUUCAUUGCUAUUCUAUAUUGAAAGAAUAGAAAUUGCUGAACUAUCUUAUAUUUUAAUCAAUUUUCUUUUGCAACCAACUGGCUGACUGACCCCUUGUUCUAUAUUUGUGAUUCUUCUUCUUUUUUUGAUCCUUGAUAAGGAUAUCUAAAAUUUUCCAUGUUCAAAAUACUCUUGUAUCGAUUAGGAAUUUGAUGAAAUAUCUAAUAGCUUAGUUCCUCUUUCUAACUAAGUGAAAGAUUGAUCAGACUAUCUAUUAAUUGAUUUGAUCCCCUAAAUAUUUGUCUGAUCUUUUGCGUACUCUCAAAGCCAACAAGUUACAGUCACUGUCAAUUGCUCUAAUUUGUUUGCAUAACUUUUGCUGGUAAUUUUCCCAUGUUUCCACCAUGAUUUAACUUUGGCAUUGAUCAAUUAACAAAAUGAUAUUUUGGUGUUGAUUAUACUAGGUAUAUUGUUGUUGGUACUGUUGAUUGCUUUGAUUGUCUUUUUCCUUUACGACAUUAUUCAUUCUGCUCACUUGGAUUAUAUUUUCCCCUUAAGGCAUGGUAAAUUCUAGUCACAUGUCUAGAUUAAGUAAGCACUUAAACUUUUGCUUAGUUGAGAUGGGAUUAGGAUAUUCCAUUCUCGUGUUUGGUAUUCUCAAUUAUGUUCACUCCAUGCCACUGAAAAUAAACUUUUCUACUUGUAUUUUUAAGGAAUGGGGUUGAGAAAAGUUUGUCCAGACGUAAAAAUUCAAUUGGUAUAUCUUUCUAUAUUAAUAAAGUGGACAAAUUUUAAGGGUUCCCAUGAAGAAAAGCCAGUCAAUUAGGAAAGGAUGUAGUAUUUUUUUUGAAUCUUAUUAAAUUAGGUGUUUCAAACAUGUAAGUGUAAACAUACAACUUUAUAGUGGAUGUAAGCUGCAAUUGGGAAAUAGCUUGAAUGUUAUGUGUUGAAUUUUUUAAAGAACCAUUAUAAUAUUUCUCGAGUAUUCCCUUAUGUGAGAUGUGAGAACAUAUAUUGUACUUCUUAGAGAUGUCUUCUAGUUUCUUUCAAUUUAAAUUUUUAGUUGACUCCUUAAAAUCUUCUGCUGUAUUCAUGUUUGUCUUGGUUUCUGUUGGUCAUGAUUUACCUUAUACAUGCUCUUAUAACUGGUUUAUUUUUGUCAAUAUAGCUUUAUAGACCUUGGUAUGUAAGACAAAUGCAACCAUCAAUUUUUUAUAAAUAAUUCUUUUAAUAAAUUAAUAACAUUUUACUUUUAUCUAAAUAGCUUUUUGCAAGAAAAUGGACUCCCUCUUGCAGCUUUCUUUUCAUCUCAUCCUUCAACUUGAUGUUCCAAUAACAAAGCCAGUCAUACAAUAAAAGUAAUUAAACUUACACUUUUUCUUUAUCCUUUUCGCCAACUAUUAAAUUUAGGACUCUUCGUCUUUUGUUUAUAACUUAAUUUGAUAAUAUGUUUAAAAAAUAAUAUUCACUAUGUAAUAAUUAUGGAACAAUUCUCCUUUACUUUUUCAAGGUGAUGAUCAUAGGAUUAUCAGGUCAUAGAAGCUAGUCUUUGUUAUCCAGUAUUGUCUUGAAGAAAAUGGUAUUUUUUUAACCAACAAACAAAGUACCAUGCUCUUGUGCCAACAACUUUCAGCUUUAGCACUUUUUGUACCAGCAAAUGCUCAUAUGUAGUACUUUCACAAUCUAGCAAUGUAACAAUGUAAUCUUUGUUCCCCAUAUUAUGAAGCAUAAUCGUCUUAUGUACUAUCAUAAUUUCACCCGUGCAAAUUUAAUUUAAUACUAUGUACCAUGCUCUUGUACCAAUAUAACUUUUAGCUAUGGCACUUGUUGUACCAACAAAUGCUUAUAUGUAAUGUAAUCUUUGUUCCACAUAUUAUGAAGCAUAACUAUUUUAUCUACCAUCAUAUUUUCACCCAUGCAUAGCACGGGCUCGGGCCACCUAGUAUAUAUAUAAGUGAAGCAUGGUGUACUACAAAGGGUAUUUUCAUAAAUAAUACCUAUAAUCAAUAAUGAUGGCUAUGUGGUAAUUAUAUCUCCACGUGUCUUCUCCCUUUGCCUUUUUACUUUCCAAAAUUCAUUGGUACCAUUUUCAUUUUCUCUUUGCUUUUUGCUUUGCUAAAUUCAUUUCUUACGCAUCUUCACAGCAGAAAACACGCUUUAAAGAAAAUCUGUUCUCACCUACUAAAAACUUAUUAAAAUUCCUAUAAAAUUUAUGUAUAUAUAAGUAAGGUUUGUCUAAUUGUAGUGAAUGUUAUCUGGGUUUCGGAAAACUACCCAAAAAAAGGAUUAUGUUGUUUAUCUUUCAAGUGUCUGGUACAAUAUUCUUUCUCUUUUAUUUUCUACAUUUUCUAUAUUUUUAUGGUCAAUUAUGUUAUUUUUUUGAAGUUGUUUGUAUUUUUACUCUUUGUUGUUAUUAUGCAUGUAUUUGGGUUGUAGUUGUAUGUGUUAUCAACAAAGGUUAAACAAGCAGUGAUAUUUUUUCUGAUUUUUCCCAUAAUUGUUCCUUUGGAUUGGUUAUCAGUUGGUUUAACUUACAUUUUUAUUGGCUUUUUGAUCUUCCACAUAUUGAGAUUAUGUUUUUAUAUCAGUUUGUUUUUUAGUUUUAGUGGUUGUUUGUUCUUUGUUUUAGUUUUUGUGGUUGCAUGUGCUGUAAACAAAGACUAAAAAUUUGUAUAUUAUAAGCUUACAUUUUCUUAUUAUUGUAAUUCUUUAAUAUCAUUCAUUAUAACUACGAUUCUUUUCUUAACUAUGACCAGUUAAGUGUAGUUACAUUAGUUUGUCAAGUGAUUUGUGCUUUGCCUUCUUUCACAUAGUUAUUGCUACUAUAUUGUUUAAUUUUAGUGAUUAUACUUUUCCCUUCAUUAAAUGAACAUUCUUUAUUCAAUAUUAACAAUCAAAAUCACAUAAGGUGAGAAAAACUAUAGUAUAAAGGUACACUAUCUAUAGAAUACAGUAAUAUAUUAUACUUUUUUGUUAAAUUCUUAAAUAUGUCAUUGUUUUCUAUCUCGGUAGUUUUCGUUCCUUAUCGCUUUAGGUAGUUCUCCUUACUUAUUAAUCAUUGAAGUUAUCAACUUGUCUAGCCUUUUAAGACUCGAGUUGUAAAUUGUAGUCCACUAGACGUUCAGAUGGAAUUUUAAACUUCGGAUUGACCAAAUGUAAAUGUUUGUUCAACAUUCUUCAAACAGGCUCACCAAGAUAUUAUUUUCAGGACUUGUGUUCUAUACUUAAAACCAAGUCACAAAUGUCUCAACCAAGGGAUUGAAAAGUCAACCUCCUAAGUCUUAGACUGCUAUAUUGGUGUCCUUGGAUAACCAAGGAAUAUGGAAUUUGAGAUCAGCUAUGCUGGAUAAAUAAUAUCUUAGAUAACAAGUGUACCUAAGAGUUUACAACCUAACCCCAAGCUUAGUUAAUGAAUAUAACAUAAAAAAUAAUGCUCUUCUUUAUGGCAAAACUGCUGCUCAACAUCCUUAAUUUGAUGAGUCCUAUAUACAUAGGCUUUUGUUUUACUGGUCAUGAGAGGUUCACUAGGAUAUUGGCUGAAAAUAUAAAUUCCUAACUGGAUGUAAUUGUUAGGAGGAUAGGUUUUACUUCUUUCCUCAUGUUGGUUAUCAAAAAGUAGGAAAUUAAUUGACUUUAGUGAGGGGAAUGAUUCAAGAUAUAGGAGGAAGGAUUUUAGGUCUCAUUUAGAUAAGGUACCUUAAUUAUUAAAACUUUAUGUCUGAACUAGAUACUUUAAUUUCUAUUUAGUUUAUGGGUAGAUUUUAAUAGGUUAAUUGAAAAUAAUGGGGAGGCAUGAUAACGUAAUUCAUUGUCAGUGGUAACAUGUAAUGCUUCUUGUAUCUGAGAUUGGUGUAGGAUAUGUCUCUUCUUUAAACUUGUUUUGGAAUUAUUACUGUAGUAUUGUUGGAUGAGCUUAUGUGAUGCAUUAUUGGUUAAAUACUUCUGAAGCUCUUGUCUUUCUUCUUUACUACAACUUAUAAUAUUUUCAUGUUACUUAAAAUUUUUUGCGUUGCUUGGACUGAAAUUACAAAGAUAUUAGUUGUGGUUGCUCACUAUUACUGAAUUUAAGGUUCUUAGAAGUGAAACACUAUAGCGUGGAACUUUGCAUCAAGAUCAUGAGAAAAUACCAACCUAUAAGAGGAUAAACAAAAGUUAAAAAAACAAAUAAGGAUCACUACAAUAACACAUGGAUUUGGUUACUGCAAAUCUAAGAACAUUGAUUGGAUCAUUGUCUGUCUUUAGGAUAAAAAUUUGAUGAAUUUUAGCUUCCACUGAUCCUUUUGUGGUGGUAAUUUACUUUUCAGCAUGUUUACUAACGAUGUUACAUAGUCUAUCUGGUCUUUACAAGCUAUAUUUUGUUCUUACAUACAUUGGUUAGAUGUCAACUUGCAUAGCGCUUCUUGAUUGCCUUUUUUCUUGUUGCUUUUCUGAGUUUGUUAUUUCUAGAAAUCUUUACCUUCUUUUGUGUUCUUUUACAAUUUUGGCAUUCUAAAAGUAAAUUGACUUGCCAAUAAGAGGUUGUUCAUUUACUUUUAUGGCUAAAAUUCACAAGUUACUUUUGGUUUCUAUAUCUUCUUCCUUGAUAUCAUCUGUGACUUUCACCUUUACUUAUUUAGGGAACAAGUAGUCUUAUUUAUUGUUGCCUUGAAAAGGUUACUGAUAUUAUUUCUCUGGCUUUUAUUGUUAUUUUGGGGUAUUGCAUUGAUGAUUGUACUUUUCUUAAUUUGUAUUAUUUAGCUUAUUAUAUUAAAUAAUCGCCAAAUACGUUAAAGCAAUGUAAUGAUAUCCAAUUAAAUUGUAAAAGUAAUAAUAUUACACAUUAGACUCUAUCCAAGUUGUACAUUUUUAGAUUGAGGAAAAAGUUAGCUCUUUUUUUCUCUUUGUUAAUACCAUUAUAACCGUAUAGAGCCAGUUUUUAAAUAAAGAUGUUGAUAGUCUUCAAUUCUUAUUUGUUCAAUUAAAUUGUAAAAGUAACAAUAUCAUACAUCACACCCUAUGCAGGUUGUACAUUUUGAGAUUGAAGAAAAAGCAAGAUCUUUUUUUCUAUUUGUUAAUACCAUUAUAACCGUAUAGGACCAGUUUUUAAAUAAAGAAUAUUGAUAGUCUUCAAUUCUUAUUUGUUCUCCUUUUUUUGUAGUUGCAGCUUCCAUGCGCGAACUCUCUAUUUGUGCUAUUGUACAAUGUUUCAGUUAGUAGGUAAUUUUUUUGUUACCAGAUUGAAAUUUGUACAGUUGUUUAUAUUUAUCAUUGUAUACUUUCUUUCAUGUUAGUAUGUCUGCGCCUAUGAAAAUCCUAGCUUCACUUGCAUUUUAUUUUCCUGAUACUCUUCUACUUUAACUACCCUUCUAUUAGUAGUCUCUGUUUCUUCUCCAUCUCGAACAACUAAACAUAGGCUAGAAGCUGUAAAAGGAUUUGUUCCUAGUAUAGCUGUAUUCACUCCACCAUUUGUGGUUAGAGGUGUAGGAAAUGCUAGUAUUGCCGACCUUUUUUAGAAUUUGAUUUAAGCCAGUAUAAGUAUAAAAUUCUGGGACUAAGACACUUAUGGGGUGCAUUUGGUUUAGUAGUAGUUUUAUUGUCGGAUUAUACUGGGUAUCUUGUUAUUACUGCUUAACAUUAUCUGAGUUGCUUGGACUAAAAAUUACUAAUAUAUUAGAUGUGGUUUCUCACUAUUACUGAAUUUAAGGUUCUUAGAAGUGAAACACUAAAGUGUGGAACUUUGCAGCAAGAUCACAAGAAAAGACCAACCUAUAAGAGGAUUAAGAAAAGCUAAAAUAACAAAAAAGGAUCACUACAAUAACACAUGAACUUGGUUAUUGUGAAUUUGAGAACAUUGAUUGGAUCAAUGUUUGUCUUUAGGAUAAAAACUAGAUGAAUUUUGGCUUCCACUGAUCCUUUUGUGGUGGUAAUUUACUUUUUAGCAUGUUUGCUAACGAUGUUAUAUAGUCUAUCUGGUCUUACAAGCUGUAUUUUGUUCUUACAUACAUUGGUUAGAUGUCAACUUGUAUAGCUCUUCUUGAUUACCUUUUUUCUUGUUGUUUUUCUGAGUUUGUUAUUUCUAGAAAUCUUUACCUUCUUUGGUGUUCUUUUACAAUUUUGGUAUUCUAAAAGUAAAUUUACUUGCCAACAAGAGUGUGUUCAUUUACUUUUAUGGCUAACAUUCAUAAGUUACUUUUGGUUUCUAUACCUUCUUUCUUGAUAUCAUCUGUGACUUUAAUCUUUACUUAUUCAGAGAACUAGAACAAGUAGUCUUAUUUAUUGUUGCCUUGAAAAGGUUACUAACACUGUUUCUGUGGAUUUUAUUAUUAUUUUGGGGUGUUGCAUUGACGAUUGUGCUUUUGUUAAUUUGUAUUAUUUAGCUUAUUAUAUUAUAAUAAUUGCCAAAUACGUUAAAGCAAUGUAAUGACACUCAAUUAAAUUGUAAAAGUAACAAUAUCACAAAUCAGACUCGAUGCAGGUUGUAAAUUUUGAGAUUGAGGAAAAAGCUAUCUUUUUUUUUCUAUUUAUUAAUACCAUAAUAACCGUAUAGGACCAGGUUUUCAAUAAAGAAUGUUGAUAGUCUUCGAUUCUUAUUUGUUCAAUUAAAUUGUAAAAGUAACAAUAUUACACAUCACACCUAUCCAGGUUGUACAUUUUGAGAUUGAGGAAAAAGUUAGCUCUUUUUUUUUCUAUUUGUUAAUACCACUAUAACCGUAUAGGACCAGUUUUGAAUAAAGAAUGUUGGUAGUCUUCAAUUCUUAUUUGUCUUCCUUUGUUUGCAUGGAUAAAGCUUAAACAUAGAGUGAGAUUUUUCCCUUUUUGGUUCUGUAAUUUCUUCUUCAUACCAAUUAUCAGUUGCAUAAACUUUCGCUUUUAUUGUUUUUUUUUAAUUUUGCAUGUGUUGUUGUUUUAACAAUUUUUCCUUUUUCCUAAAACUUUUAUUUCAACUUGUUCUAAAAAGCUUUGCUGAAUUAUCUUCCUACUGUCCCUUUAGCUGUUUUUGCAUUUGUGGUGGGUUUCCCCCCUUCUUUCAAAUCAAAUUAGAUGUCUUGUUGUUCUAGUUUUUAGUAUUCAAUGCACACUAUGAUGUUAUGUUUCCAAUCACAUAAUGUAAAUUUGUUCUAUUUCAUUUUUAACCCUACUGUCUAAGCAUACACUUUGUAUGUAGGAAUAAGGAAAAUAACAGCCAGGAAAAACUAUAAAUCAAAAAGAUUCUGAAGUCAAAUAUCUAAAAUAAAAAGAAAAAUAAUUGAUUUCCAAAUGGAGAGAAAUUAUUGACAUCGUGUUGCUUACAGAGAAAUGCCAUCUGAAUAAAAAAAGGCACUUCUCAAACAACGAAGAGUGCAAUAUGCUGCCAAAAAGCAGACUACCUCAGAAAAUUCUACUGCUAGGACUUCUAAUCCACCAUCUCCUUCUUUAGAGCCCAAUAAUAUGAUUCUUCCUCAACCUACUCUAUAUAUAUUAGGGAUAAAUCUUCUGCUUCCAGAAAUGGUUGGUUAAAUAAAAUUUCACUUUCACUUCCUAUCACCAUUUAUGUUUAACUUUCACGAAUCUAAAAUAUUAUAGGAUGCAAAGCAACACAAAUGGGUUGCUGGAAUAUCCACCAAUUACCCUGCUCUCCUAUUGUUUUAAAAAAUGUUCCAAACUGUAAAUUUUGUGUAGCCAAAAGAUUUCAAUACAAAACUCCAACCUUUUGUCCUAAAAAUAGUUCCAUAAAUUAGUUUCGCACCAACUACCUCUUGCAUUAAAGCAUUUUUAUUACGGCCACUCUGAAGAAUCUAAAUAUUUUCAUACUUACAUUAGAACAUACAAUAACGUGUUUGCCUUUACCUCACUUGUCAUAAAGUAUGAUAAGGAGUUGGAAAAUAUGACUAAUGGUAUCUACACAUUUAAGGUACAAGGACAAAUGUACUAUUUCUUACCUAGCCUUACUACUGCAGAUAGAACAAAAAAUUUACAACUUUAUUUCUAUGAUAAUGAGAAUGAGAGAGUAAAUAGAAUGACCUUCUAAAAAAAACUAGACAAAUCUGUUAUUGAAAACUUAGUGGAUAUUCUGCAAAUUAAUUGAUAUUUAAGUUUUUGAAAUCUUUAACACAUAUUUCAGAUUUUUCUAAUUUCUAUAUUGCACUUAAAUAUGAUUCUAGCUUAGAUCAACGAACAUACAACUUACCCAAUGUAUCAGAAAUAGCAGCUAUAUGGACUGACAAAGAAUUGAAUAGUCUUAUUUCCACACCACAUAUUCGUGUUCACACACAUAGUAAAGUAGCCAAUUGGUUCACUAUUACUAUGGUUUCUAUGACUCCUUACAAUACCCUUUCUUAUUUCCAUAUGGUGAAAAUGGAAGGAAUUGUGGCAUACAAAAGAUUUUGCAACCAAAUAAUUCUUUUAGAAAUCAUUCUUCUUGCAAAUAUGAACAACAUUAACUUGUCACAAACAUGUCUUCCAUUUAUGGAUACCUUAAUAUUGAAGGCCGGUAUAAAAUAAUUUCAGAGAUAAGAUAUUUCAGGAUUAAGCCUAAGAUAAAAGUUUAUAUUGUAUAUGAUUUGACUGUAUAAACUUUUUCAGAUUUAAUCUUGAAAUAUUUGACCUUAUUCUCCUACCAAGCAACUCUUUAGUCGUUUGUCCAUAGAUAAUAUUUGAUUUUAAAAAAAAGUUUUUGUGUCAUAUGUUUGAUCUAUUAUUUCAACUUUAAUAUGAAGUCAAAACAUGAAGUUUUAAAAAAAUGGUUAGAAAAGUAUUUUUCAAGUGAAAUAUAGUUAUUUAUUUUAUGUCUCUCUAGCCCUUACCCCCACCCUAAAUGAAGCUGAGUUUUGGAAUAACCGAUAAAGUUGUGCAAGAAAUUGUCAGUUACCCACUUGACCUUAUUUUUUUUUAUGUUCAGAAAAAAGUACCCCUUAAUUAGUUAGACUAGGGUGACAACAACUUAUCAUAGAUAAAAAAGUUGUUGACCAAGUGAAAGAUCUGUCACUAUCUUUGAAAAAAAUGUGAUAUUUGAAAAGAAAUAAAAAACUUAAAAAAUAAUAUUUGAAAAUUAAGAUUGUUAUUGGGAAAAAGUUGAAAUUUCUAGGUGUAAAAAGGUCACUUGAUUAAACCACUUGGAAGGGUAGGUUAUACGUAAAUUUUAUCCUAUUAUUGUGGGGUAAAGAGAUUAUUUUUGAUAAAGCGUCAAACUCAAAAUAAAUACCUCAAAGUAGGAUUACAAGAAAAAUAUGACAAUAAAAUAACAAGAUAUAACGCAAACAGAGUAAUUGAUAGUAAUACACAUUAAUUAAAAUAUAUGAGACUAUGCGAUUACUAAUUAAUACUAUUAAUAGGAGAGGACGGUUUACGCAGCCAUACUCUUAUCUUGUGAAGAUAGAGAAAUUAUUUUUGAUAGACCCUUGACUCGAAUAAGCAUAUUAAAAAUCAAGUAUGUAAAACAAAUGCAAUAACAAAGAUGCGAAGAAGAAAAUAACUACAAAGAGAACAAGUAGAAACAAAACAGAUAAUAUGAUAACUGAAGUAAAGAAAACAACAAUUACUCAUAUGAGAACUAGACAACGUUCGACCACUUGCUAACUUCUACCCUAAUCUUUGAUCUUUUAUUUUUUUAUUUAAGAGUCAUGUCCUCGAUAAACUGUAGGCAUGUGUUGUCCUAUAUGUUACCUCUCCUAAGACUUCUUCAACUUACCUAUACCUUUCAUUAUAUCCACUAUAGUCAACCUUCAUACCUUCUUCUCAUUGGGGCAUCCGUACAUCUUCUUUUCACAUGCCUGAGCUAUUUCAGUCUCAAAUCUCUUAUCUUCAACCACCCUGGAGGCCACUCCCAUCCUAUCCCGAAUAUUUUUGUCCAGAUCAUGUCCUUCCUAGUAUGACUAUACAUCCAUUGAAACAUUCUUAUUUUUAUUACACUUUCGUGAGGGUGCAUACCCUUUCUUAUUUCCAUAUGGUGAAAAUGGAAGGAAUUGUGGCAUACAAAAGAUUUUGCAACCAAAUAAUUCUUUUAGAAAUCAUUCUUCUUGCAAAUAUGAACAACAUUAACUUGUCACAAACAUGUCUUCCAUUUAUGGAUACCUUAAUAUUGAAGAAGGAAUUUUACAAAAAAAAUGACCAAAAAAAGAACACUGUUUCCUAUUGUGAAUAUUAUUUUUACAAACUUCAAAUUAGAGUGAAACACCCUGCAUUUUGGGCUAAAAUGAAAAUUGUCUUUUCUAUAUAUAGAUAUUCCAAAAAUCAUAAAUCCUAUGCAAAUUUGGUAUGUUAAUCAAUUAUGUAGUGUGGGAACCUCUUUGAGCAUAAAUUGAGGUCGUAGAGAUCCCCUAACUCAAGGUCAAGUUGAAAGCUUUCCUAUUGUUCGAGUUUUAGUGAGUGUCGAAACUUGAGUCAACUUUAAUUGAACAUAACUCCUUGUAUAUGAUGUACUGGUUGGCCUAUUAUAUAUCAAAUGAAAUCUCUUCUAAUUAUCUUUCCAAAGAUAUAAAUUUUUCCUAAAUCCGAUAGCGGAGAAAAAAGUUAUGCCCAUUUUACUCCAGCAUGUCAGCCUGGAAAACUGAGUGAUGAUAUUUCUGAUAACUUAUCCUGUUUAUGAUAGCUUAUAACAAAAUGUCAUCAGCCUUAGGAAGAAAUCCAUAAAUUCCAGCCCCAAGUGAUGACAUUUGUGAUGACAUAUCACAAGUCUGAUGGCUUAUCACAAAAUGUCGUCAAGCUUAGGCAAAAACCCAUAAAAUCCAACUCCCAAGUGACAACAUUUGUGACGACUUAUUACAAGUCUGACAGCUUAUCACAAAUAUCAUCAGUCGAGAUUUUCAGCAAUUGGGAAGCAUUUUAGUAAGGGUAUUUUGGAAUUUCCUUCACAUCCCACGACCUAAAUAAUCAAAAUCAUGUACUUAAACAUCAUAAAUCAGUUUAAACAACCCUUAAUCCUCUUUAUUAACAAGAAAAAUAUUUGGGUUUCCUCUUAAGAUCAUCUUCCAAGAAAUUCAAAACUCCAUUACUCCUUCUUCAAGAUAAUAAAGAAUCUAAGAUUUCUAAUCCAAUAAGUUCAAGAAAGUUCCCAAGAACAUCAAAUUAAGGUCAUCCUCUUCAAGAAAGAAACCAAUAGUUUAGCAUCACAAUCCAAGAAUCUCAAAAAAGCUUUCAAGAUCAUCUCCUAGGGUUUCAAGGUCAAGUUCUCUACAUCAAAUCAAGUCUAUUAAGCUAUGUGAUUUUGAACAAGAAAACCCAUUUGUUCUUGUGCCCAAAAGUUACAUAUUUUCCUAAAGUAUUUCGUAAAUUCAUGGAGAAUUCCUAUCAUGUUAUUAUAUGGUGAGUAUUUUUAUGAAACUAUGUCUUAACCAAGCUUUGAGUUGUAAUAUUAUUAUGCAUAUUAAUGUUUUAAAUUGUCAAUUUAUGAUUUAAGUUGCAUAAUUCAACGUCUAUAUCUUGUUUUGAGAAUUUCAAGUCCUAUUGUUGUGAAUUGAACCUUAUGGUUAAAGCAUGAGUUUGUGAAUGGGAUGUUAGUGAUUUUUGUAAGAAUAUCAAGAAGUGAGUUUUGAUUGUAAGUUAAGAUAGAAAUCCACAUUCUUGUGUUGAAGUAAAGGGGAUGCAUUUUGGCUAUAUUUGAAUUGUUUUAAGGUGGAUUUUCUAAAGUUCUGAGCUAAGUAAAGGAGUAGUAUUUAGCACCGAGUUAGGCAUGAUUCCGAGGUCUCAUGCCCCAAAACUACGUGACCCCGUAGGUUCUUAAUAUACCCUAAGUGGGUUAAGUAGUGAUUACUAUAGUUAAGGUUCUAUCCGAUGGCAAGGAUAGAACAACUCUCCCUAAUGUAGGUAAGGCAUUGGACUUCAUGUAGAUCACAUGGUUUAUGUCGGUUAGAAGAAACUCCCAAAGUAGUCCCCCACUCUAUCUAAGAUACAAGUAUAUGUAUUUUGAAAGUUAUGAGUCCCAGAUUUCUAAGGCUCUCAAGUGUCAAAAUCUUUAAGUUUCCAAAGAAGUUCCUAGUUUUCAUAAGAUUAAAGUGAAUGCUCUGAAAAAUGUUGUUUUAUGACUUUAUCUAUAUUACAAGUUUGAGAAUAAAGAAAGAAUGUAGAUUUAGAAUGAAGUGCAAUGACUCACAUGAUUUAUAUUACCUGUUUUCUUAUUCAUGAUUAUGAUGGUUUUAAUUCAAGCUAUGUGAGUCAUCUAUACUAGCAUUCAUGUUUUCUAUAAGGAUUUAUGAUAUUGAUUAUUUAAUUGCAUACACCCCCAUUACUUAGUAAAUUCCCAAAGUGCUGAUCCAUAAAUACGUCUAUGUGCUACAUUGUCUCAUAAUGUAGGUACAAGACUUAGUAUGCCAAUUCAGAUUCAGUCAGCUCCCAACUUCCAGCCAGCAGUUGAUGAAUCCUUUUGAUUCAAGGGUUUGAGCCAGAUAGAUAGUUGGAGCAGUUAUUUAUUUUCCUAUUUUAGUCGUAUUGAGUUGGGAUAGUUGGGAGUCAUGACCCGACUAUCUAAAGUCAGUACUAGUAGAGGUUUCAUAGACAGUCAGUAGAGUUAAUGUAUUCAGUUUCAGUUUUAUUUUGGUAAAAGCAGAGUUAUAAUCUUGUAAUGUUCAGAUUUUUGUUGAUCAAGUUCAAAAUACUUUUAUGUUCUCGCUUAUUUUAUAAAGAUUUAAGCAUUUUAUUCAGUUGCUUAUGAGUUAUGCCAGUAGAAGGAUUAGCUUGGGGUCAUUAUGAUCCUAAGCAUCGUGUGACGACUUGGGACUUGAUUUUGGGGCGUUACAAACUUAGUAUCAAAGCAUAGAGUUCAAGUGUCCUAGAGUGUCUGUGAAGCUGUGUCUAGUAGAGCCUUGCGGAAUGGUACGGAGAAAUCUAUACUCUUCUUCGAGAGGCUACAAGGAACUUAGGAAAUGUCUUCAUUCUUUCAAGUCUCAGAUCGUGCUAUAGAAAUGUUCUUUAAGAAAUUUAUACAGAUUCUCAUCUUACUCUAUCCGAGCCAUCUCUGCCUUAUGUUCAAGGUAUCAAAAAUAGUCAAGCUUAAAUCUUUACUGAUAGUUCUUUCUUAGAUAGUCUCCACAGAUAGUUAUCGGAUUGUAAGUGAGCUAGAAAGUAUCCCAUCAGUGCUUUUGAGUUUCGAUGACUGAAGUGCUCUAUUUAUGAUUCAUAAAAGUCGUGCACUAAGCCCAAGUCAGAUGUACUUCCAGAUUCCCCCUCAGAAUCUAUAAUGUAAGUCUAUACUUCCCUAUCCAUGUAUUAUUCUUGAGAUAACAUGAUUAGUAAGUUCCAGUUCCUCCCUAGAUAACACUCUCAGAUUGUUUAGCAAGAAGGUUCAGAAGUCACACAAAGCGGCUUGAGAGUAGCAUUCUAGUGUGUUAUUAGACUCUCAAGAUCAGAGUUAUGUCCUCACUCUUAUGAGUCAUGCAAGUAAGACAAAACAAGAUGUGUAUUCUUAGAUCAUUGAAUAUUAUGUGUCAAGCUUCUAUCUCUUGUAACCUUGUUAUCAUUGUUUUGUUGAAAAAUCAAAGUCUAGUGAAGCCGUGUGAGACCUAUUUUGAUUUACUAGGAACUUGUUGUGUAUCUUGUUAUUUUUGUGUUGGUUGAAACUUAUAGAGAUACGAAAGAAGUUUAGGUGUAUAGACAGGUGGAUAGUAAUGAUGUGUAGAAGUAGGAUAUGGUAAUGGAUUGUAAAUAAGAUAGGCCAUAUGUUUAUGAUCGAUUAUUGUUAUUAUGAGGUUAAGUGGG